CCUCCUCCAUAUGCAAGAAAAUUUUGUUGCGACGACUCCGAAUAUUAUCUUGAAUUUCCUGCAGCUCCAUUGUGGCAAAAUCCUGCACUGUUUCAGGCCCCUCUAUGAUACAAAAUCUGCACCAUUAAGCAUGUAAAAAUUAAAAAUUACAGGCUACAAAGCAAUUUCCGUAUAGUUGUUGGGUUAAAUAACAUCAACAGCAAAUAAAUCACAUAGGUUUUUCACAUAAAGUUACAAACUUUCAAGGACUAAUAAGCUGUCUGCAAUCUCAUAAAUUUCACAGUGCAAAGUAACAAUCCAAAGCUUGGAACUUUAAAUUUCCACCUUCUGUUAAUUUUUUAGUGCACCUGGUGUCGUUAGAUUCGAGUAGUAUGUCACAUUAAAUUUUUUUUUUCUGUGCAUGCAUUUUUUUUUAAAAGAAAAUUUUAUAUUGUUAAAGAGCGAGUUCGAAACUAUUACAUUAUGGAAGGACAUAGUACCGAAACUCCGACGAUCAAAAACAAAAUCAUGUACAACCACUCCAAGCAGUCAACAUGGCCAUCACAUAUUGAAUCCAAAAUGUUGACGCCCCAUUCGCUGCAUAUAAUGUACAGACGAGCGGCAGCUUCAACCAGUUCUGCCAUAUCCGGCUGGAUGAGAGCAGCUAAAGACAUGAUUGUUCCCUAAUAACAUGAAUAAAUUGAGUAAACACCAAAAGUAGCAGCAAGGGAAGGAGAUGUGAAGUAUAUGAAGAGGUGUAAGACCUGUGAAUGUCCAGCAACAAAGAUUUUGGAGCUUGUUGUCGAAUAAUGCAACGCAUCAUUUCUGGUAGAUCAAAUAGAGCCAAUUCCCGCCAACUCCAAUUCCAAAAUUUCUACAGUAAAGCAUAAAUCUUAUUCUCUCUUCUGAUAAAGAUGAGUGUCCCAGACUCCAACGUGUUCCACACACAUUCCCUACCCAUACAUCGAAACCUUCAUCUGCAAGGACGAAUCCCAGCGAUUCUUCUGGAGAAUUUAAGAAUCAUGCAUCACCUGGUUAAGAUCAAGAAAAGCCAGUAACCAAGUUCAAUUGAGUUAAAAUGUAUCCCAUGGAUGUUCAUCACUUUGCCCAAUUGUUCUUUUCAAGAAAGGAAAUUUCAACAGAACCUGAAAACUUCAGAUCAGGGGGCACCAAAUAGUGAGCUAUACAUUCAAAAUUUGAAAUAAUCAACUUAGUAGGACCAGUAUGUUGAAAAAAUGGGAAGGAGCUAUGAAAGUAAGACUUUUCACUAAUCAGGCGUCCAGAGAAUCCAUAUUUUACCCGCGUAUCAGUUACGGGGAACACUCCCCACCAGAGCAAUCUCAUUAGUCCUUCACAUCUCAACCGUACAGAAGUUGCACUAACAAACAUGACUCCUAUUAGUCCUUCACAUCUCAAAUCCAGGAAGUACCCAUCUUUCGUCUGAAUCUGGAAAAUAAGCAGCAGUCAAUUUAACAAUCUCGGUAUCUCAAAGUUACUCACUUUAAUCACAAAUUUAGCAAUUAAACAUAUAAAUGGGCAUUUUUUUAGGGAAAUAUUAGUAUAGUACUCACUGUGUGCUCGGAGCAAGAGUACCCAGAAAGCUCAAUGAGCUGCGCACAGAGGACUGCAGUGGUGAACGACAGCGACCAAUUCUGUAAAAUUUAGUCGAGUUUUGGGAAAUUUCUGCAGCGAUUUCGGAGGUCAAGAGGCUGAUAAGGAAAGCCGCGACCAAAGGGCACUGGUCUGGAAGAAAGGCUUUGGUCGCCGCUAUCGCAAUUCGCGAAGGAAGAAGUGCCCCAAAACAAUUUCGGCCCUGGACAGGUGCACUGUUUGCACUGAGCCAGGGCCGGCCCUGAAUCGCGAUAACGUCCUUCUCCAAACAGUAUAUAUACAGAUGCUAGAAAAAUCUACCGGAACUAUUCAAUUCUAGCGUCUACAGCUUUAGCAUUAGUUGGUACAAGGGGCAUUCUUCCAAAGAGGGAGAUGAAAUCGUUGAGGCACCAAAUAGUGAGCUAUACAUUCAAAAUUUGAAAUAAUCAACAUGGUAGGACCAAUAUGUUGAAAAAAUUGGAAGGAGCUAUGAAAGUAUGGCUUUUCACUAAUCAGGCGUCCACAUAAUCAAUAUUUUACUCACAGAUCAUUUACGGGGAACACUCCCCACCAAAACAAUCUUUUUAGUCCCUCACAUCUCAAACCAAGUAGAAAUUGCAGUAACAAACACAUCUCAAACCCAGUAAGUACCCAUCUUUCGUCUGAAUCUGGAAAACAAGCAGCAGUGGAUUCAACAAUCUGGGUAUCUCAAAGUCACUCACUUUAAUCACAAAAUUAACAAUUAAACAUAUAAAUGGGCAUUUAUUUAGUGAAAUAUUAGUAUAGUACUCACUGUGUGCUCGGAGCAAGAGUACCCAGAAAGCUCAAUGAGCUGCGCACAGAGGGACUGCAGCGGUGACGACGGCAACCGAUUCUGUAAAAUUCAGUCGAGUUUUGGGCGAUUUCUGCAGCGAUUUCGGAGGUCAAGAGGCUGAUAAGGAAAGCUGGGACGGAAGGGCACUGGUCUGGAAGAAAGGCUCAGGACACCGCUGUCCCGAUUCAUGAAGGAAGAAGUGCCCCCAAAACAAUUUCGGCUCUGGACAGGUGUACUGUUUGCACUGGACCAGGGUCGGCCCUGGCGAUAACGUCCCCCAAACAGCACAUAUACAGAUGCUAGAAAUAUAUAAAUGUAACCUGAAACUACUAGAACCAUUCAAUUCUAGCGUCUACAGCUUUAGCAUUAGUUGGUACAAGGGACAUUCUUCCAAAGAGGGAGAUGAACUCAUUGAGGCUCUUAUUUAUUCCUCCUCUUGAUGUGCCCUUUUAGGCUGCUAAUUCCACACGAUCCAAUUUCAUACAUCUUCCCUGCAAAAGCAUGUGUGCCUGACUUCAAGAUCAAAUUUUUCCAACAAAAGAAACUUAAAGAUCAAACUCGCUAGCGGAAUAAGUGGUGCACAAGGGUGUUAAAAUCUUGACAUAUGUAUAUUUUUGGCAGAUUUUAUGUGAGCAUGCAACUAAAACUGGCAUCACUAUCAAUGGUGCACAAAGAUUGGUGGAAAACUUUAACAGUUUGAGUUGUAACUUCUCCAUUGUAUUUGUUAAGGCAAGACGGAUGUCAUCUAUUCAUUUUUCUGUAAAACUUAAAAGGCUGCAUAGCAGCUCUUGUUCGUUGUAUUGAAUACCAUGGUUUUACUGAUGAAUGCAGAGUUUGCUGAUGAUUCAUACGACAAGCAAUUGAAAAUCCCAUCAUUAUGCCCCGCAUAUACCAGAAGAAAAAAAAGUCAUUUACACAAAUUCAGAGCGUUCAUCCACUGUAAUUUGCAGAUAUGGAAACGUUAAGAUAAAAGGAAAUGCAAAGUACCUUUCACCCAAAUUGGAGGAGCAACGGUGGCAUUAGCAAGCUAGCAACGGGAAUUGACAUACCAAUAUCUUCACAGUUUCUGCACAAGAACAAAUCAAAAGAAUCCGGCGGUGGAGUUAUGUACCUCUCCUUGGAAAAUGCCACCUCCUGGGAUUUCAAAAUAUACGGCCGUGGCUAGCCGUCUGACCACGCCAAUUCCACCAAAGCCGCCGCAACGUGGCGUAGUGUCCGGUUGAUUGCUUCAAAACAGAGCUUCGUAUCCAUGUGUUUAUCAGCAGAGAGUACCCAAAACCCCUGAAAAUUAUUUCUUUAUUCAGAUAAUAAAAUUUCCCAAAUUUCGAAUUUUAAUUCCGAACAAAAAAAAUAGGGUUUGAAUUUUGAUUACCUAGAAAUUGGGGGGUUGGGGUGGAGAGGGACUCGGGCCAAGACACAGAUAUGCAUCCGUGAUAAGGUGUGCAAGGCUUUUGCAGUUUCUCAGAUCUAAACACUGAAGCCCCGUAAGCCGUUCAAUCCAGGGGGAAAGCUCUUUAAUAGAUGUUCCAUCCAAGAAAAGAAAUCUUAAUCCUUCCAUAUUUUCUUCAAUGCUUGGAAACACCUCAAAUUUUGUACAACCGGAAAGAGAGAGAAAGGCAAGGGACUUCAGCUGACAAAUGCUACUUGGAAGACUCUUAAGUUCUUUACAAUUUUCUAGCUUCAAAUGAUUCAAUCCCAUGAGAUUAUUAAUUGAUAAGGGCAGUUCUUUAAUUUUCGACCCAGAUAAAUCAAGAACUUUUAACCCCUCAAUCACUUCUGAAAUCUCUGGAAACAUCUCAAGACUCCAGCAACCAUAAAGAUCAAAGGUUUUGAGAGAUUUCAUAUGAAUGCUGCUUGGAAGACUCUUAAGUUCCUUGCAAUCUUGUAGAUUCAAAUGACACAACCUCGUAAGAUUAUUAAUUGACGGGGACAGUUCUUUAAUUUUUGAGCAGGGUAAAUCAAGCUUUUCUAACCCCUCAAUACCUUCUGAAAUCGAUGGAAACAUCUCAAGACUGGAGCAGCCAUAAAGAUUAAAGGUUUUCAGACAUUUCAUAUGAAUGCAGCUUGGAAGACUCUUAAGUUUCUUGCAAUCUUUUAGGUUGAAAUGACUCAACCCCGUGAGAUUAUUAAUUGACAGGGGCAGUUCUUUAAUUUUGGACCCGGAUAAAUUAAGCUCUUCUAACUCCUCCAUACCUUCUGAAAUCUCUGGAAACAUCUCAAGACUGGAGCAGCCAGAAAGAUUAAAGGUUUUGAGAGAUCUCAUACGAAUUUUGCUGGGUAGAAUCUUAAGUUCCUUGCAAUUUGAUAGGUUCAAAUGACACAACCCCAUGAGAUUAUUAAUUGACUCGGGCAGUUCUUUAAUUUUGGACUCGGAUAAAUUAAGCUCUUCUAACUCCUCCAUACCUUCUGAAAUCUCUGGAAACAUCAGAAGACUGGAGCAGCCAAAAAGAUUAAAGGUUUUGAGAGAUCUCAUACGAAUUUUGCUAGGUAGAAUCUUAAGUUCCUUGCAAUUUGAUAGGUUGAAAUGACUCAACCCCAUGAGAUUGUUAAUUGACUCGGACAGUUCUUUAAUUUUGGACCCGGAUAAAUCAAGCUCUUCUAACCCCUCAAUCACUUCUAAAAUCUCUGGAAACAUCUCAAGGCUCACGCAGUUAAUAAGAUCAAGAGUUUUGAGAGAUUGCAUACGAAUUUUACUAGGUAGAAUCUUAAGUUUUUCGCACCCAUUCAGAUCCAAUAAAACAAGUUUUGUAAGAUUCGAAAUAGAUGGGUGAACCUUAACUAACCCUAUACAACCAUGAAGAAUUAGCCUCUCAAGAUUUGGCACAUUUGUGAAGUCAGGGGUUUCCUUAAGGUAUUCACAAUAACUUAAAUUGAUGAAUUUCAACUUUUCCUGCGUCUGUUAAAACAUUCAGGAAAACAUGCAUUACUUAAUAAGACAUCUCACUCAAAGCCCAAACAUUUAAAAGAAACAAAUACAUGUAAAUGAUUGUACAUACCUGGGUUCCUUCCCAAAGUCGGUCAAUGUGGCUAUAUUGCAUGUCAAGUCCAACAAGAUUUUCGAAUUGAAAGUUGGAUGGCAAAGACUUGAGCGGGAAACAAGACCAGGAAAGAAACCUCAACUCACUAGAAACAAACUUUAAGGACCCAGUCAGGUGUUGUAUGCUGAAAGUACCGAUCUUGAGAAGUCUUAGUUUAGUCAUCCUAUCAAAAGCUUUAACAAUUAAGCAUCCCUCAUAUGAGUGCCCCAAAUCUAGGAUUAUGCUUUCAACUGUUUCUGUACCCUGUGCAAAUCAAAGGGAAGGAAAAAGCAGAGAACCUUAGUUUAGAUUAUGAAGUUAAUGCUUGUUUCUUAAGGAGUUGUUUGAUAAUAAUUUUGUUUUCACUUUUCACUUUUGUUUUGAUUAUUUAUUUAGAAAUCUGAAAAUUGAAAACAUAUAACUUGUUUGUAAUUGUUUUCAAUUUUCAAUUAUUAAAAAAAUGAAAAUUUAAAAAUAUAAAUGGAAACAAAAGUGGUUAUCAAACGAGCUUAAGAAAUUGAUUUUGGUCAAAAGUUGAAGCUUUCUACUAAACAUUGCAUAAGAAAAGAAAUUAUCACCGUAUUUUUAGUUAUCACAUGAAAAACAUCUUCAUAACUCCACAACCUACUUCGUCUCCCAGGCUCUUUGAUAGAUUCUUGGUAGACGAUUUUCUGACCCAUUUCCUCUAGUAAAUCAUGCAUCUCCAGUUCCCCCCUCCAUGAGACAGUUACUAGAGCUCGAUCGAUUAGAACUUUUAUUCCAAUAUCAGGAUAGGAACCACAGCUGUGCAGAACUGUGGUUGCAUAGUCUUUUCUCAUUCCUUUAAAGAAACAUGCAAUAUCUAGAAAGAUAUCCUUCUCCGUGUCAUCUAGUCCAUCGAAGCUUGUUUUAAGCACAUCAUGAAUUCCCUUUUGCGGGAUUUUCUUUAUUUUUUCUAACUCAUUUUCCCACUGGCGUACAUUUUUGUUAUAAAGAAAAGCUCCCAAGACUUUGAGUGCUAAAGGCAGACCUUGAGCAUAAUUUACAGCACGACUCGAGAUCAUCAUAAUCUCUGUUGGGUUGGUUUUUUCUAAAGGCGUACCGCCUAAAGAGUUCCAGAGCUCCAUAAUCACUUAAAAUCUUGGGAUUAUAUAUCCCAUCAGCUAUGCUUAGUAAUUGCGAAUCUCUGGUUGUUAUAAUAAUUCUGCUUCCACCACCAAAGGAAUGUGGCUCUCCAAGUAAAGCUUCAAUUUGUUCUAAUUCUUCCACAUCAUCAACAACAAUAAGAACUUUUCUCCGACCUAGACUAUUUAACAUCACCUGGAAACCUUUAUUCGAAACGUCGGAACUCCCCACCCUGUUGUUCGAGAUACUCGAUAGAAGUUCUGCCUGCAUAUGUAGUUUGCCAUGCUUCAUGAAACCUUCCUUGAAAUUUUCAAGAAAGCAACAAGCUUUAAAUCCACCAGAGAUUUCAUUAUAAAUAGCUCUAGCGAUGGUUGUUUUGCCUAAACCACCCAUACCCCAUAUUCCAACAAUGCGAACAUCAUUAGUUUCAACUCCAGGAGGAUGCAGUAAUGAAUGCAUGUUAUGCAUAUGAGAGUCCAUUUCAACCAAGCCAUUAUAUUUGCUUGAGGAUGAUGAGAUGUAUCGCCGACCCCACUUAGUGGGAAAAGGCUUUGUUGUUGUUGUUGUUGAUGAUGAUGAUGAGAUGUGGAUCAAUUUCUUAAAAACAUCUUCUACAAUUUUCUCAAUAAGCUCUGCAUCAUCCCUGUCAAAUUUAAAACACAAUAUAAUUACAACACCAAAUGAUACUUAAUGGGUCGUUUUGAUAACAAUUUCGUUUGCAAUUUUUUUUAAAUCUAGAUUUUAAGUUUGCAGAUUUUGUUUUCAGUUUUUAGUUUCAAUGAAAGUAGUUAUUAAACAAGGUUUCCAAUUUUUCUUUCAUGGUAUACAGUACGUAGUCCCAAAUAUCAGUAGUUAGAUCUUGCAUUUAGAUCUAAUGGGUAUUUACAACCUUUUUUCCUGAGAAUUUUGUACCAUUGUAGCCAGAUCACAUGUUUUCAUCCGUUAGUUUUAUAAAAAUGGAAACUACAAACUUAAAAAAAAAAAAAAAUAUAUAAUAUAUAUAUAUAUAUAUAUAUAUCAAAUGGCCCCUAAAUGCUAUUAAAAAUCUCAAAAAUUAACAGGAAACUAAAACAAAUUAGAAUUUAUUCAUGGUUUCGCAAAUCCCAGCCGGAUAAACUGGUGGCCGUUGUAAGAGAGGACCUCCAGCCGGAUAAACAUUUUCGAGUUAUUUGAUAUUUGUAUAGUAAAAAUACUUUAAUAGCAAGUGCGCGUGAGUGAAGAAAUUGAACUUACUUAUAUUCUUUCGAAUCCCAACCGGAAAAAUUGCAGGCUCUGGGAAGAGCGGACCUCCAGCUCUGCACCUCCUUCACGUCAACGUUAGAACGACCUUCAUGUUUAGCAAAAGCUUCUGCAAAACUUCCCUCGAGUUUACGAAUAUUGGACGGAUCGACUUGGUAGAAAAUGGGGAAUACAAUCUGGUUCUUGGAAUGGUUGCAUUCCAAGAUUUCCACGAGUUCUUUCAAGCACCAUGUGGAUGAAGCAUAGUUUUGAGAGAAAACUACAAUCGAAAUCCUUGACUCUCGAAUCGCUGUCAGGAGCUCGGAAAGGCGGUCGCCUUUUCUGAGGUCUUCGGCAUCAAUGAAGGUGUUGAUUGGUUUCUGACGCAGAGCUUUGUAGAGAUGGCUGACGAAGCCCGUGCGAGUGUCUUCCCCUCUAAAACUGAUGAACACAUCGUAUUCCCAACCAAGGCAAGAAGAAGAAGAAGAAGCAGCCAUUAAUCGAUCUCACCUGGGCAGCGAUGAUCGAGCAGCUAAGACUAAGAGAAUUGUAAGUACAGAAACACUCAAUAGAUCUACAAAUUGGAUCACCAGAAAUUAGUCAAUGAGUCAAUGCAAAAGGGAAAAGGGCAAUUAUGCUUUUUGCGUUUUCACAUCUUCUUCAGGAAAUUUCGGUGUGAAAGGAAUCCGCAUACUUUUGAUUUUUCAACCCAAGAAAAUGCGAAGAAAGGGGACAAAGUAGUAAAUUUAAUCUACAGUUAGUUACCUACUCAAUAACCUCUUGAUUUAAUAUAUAUUUAAUUGGGAAAAGUAGUUUAGAGCAAGGAUGUUAUCUCCUUUUCUUCUCUCUCGAUCAGUCAAUCUUCCCGCGUGCGAUUUAAUCAUGAUUAAAGCUAAGCUUAAUCUUAGGUCGUAUUAUUUAGGUCUAAUUGGAUUCUUAAUUCUUGUGAUAUAGUAGUUGGAAGAUUAAAAAAAAAUUAUGAUUUAAACGUUUGUGAUGAAGUCUGUUACGAUUUAAAUUCAAAAUUGAAAAUUUCGUUAACUCCAUUAAUUGUUAGCACAUGAGACUCACAAAUGAAACUAAAAAUAUAAAGUUAGCCUCACAUGUAAUCUUCACGUGCUAACAAUUAAAAGAGAGUUCCGUUUUAGCUUAAUAUAUGUGACUCACGUGUUAAUAAUUAACAAAAUAUUAACAAAAAUUUUAAUUUUAAGCAUAAAUUCAAAUAAACUUCACCACAUAAGCUUAAAUUCUAAUUUAGAUAUCUUCUAAUUUAGAUAAUUUUUAACUGCAAGAUGUACGAUGAACGGAUAUAAUUCACAAAUCUCCAAAAUCCUUACAAAAAAUAUCCGAAAAAGAGCCAAAUUCAAUGGAAAUAAGCUAAUUUUGAAUCAAAUAACAUUACUUUAUUUUGUAAAUAAAUUAAUUUUGAAUUGAACAACAUUCAUUUAUUAUGUAAGUAAUUCAUUUUGUAUGUAUCAUCAUAUAUAUUAGGCACAUUUUAUCAUAGGUGAUUUUGUGAAAAAUUAAUAAAAAGUUACAAUAUUAACAAUAGAUCAAUAAUAUUUAUGUUAAUUAUAAAUAGGCUAACCAUGUAUUAUGAUACUUAAAUGCAUUUAAAAUAAAUAAAAAUUACAAAAUCUACUACUACAGCUAGCAUUCACUUCAACUAAAGCAAUACGUAGUUUUUAUAUUUGGAAUAAGUCAUACGAAUCAGAGACAUGAAGAGGUGUAAGAACUGUGAAUGUCCAACAACAAAGACUUCGGAGUUUGUUGUCGAAUAUCUGCAGCGCAUCAUUUCUGAUAGAUCAAAUCGAGCCAAUUCCCGCAAACUCCAAUCCCACCACCACCUUUCAAGCCGGACUCAGCCCUCCGGGCGGCAUUUGGCAGGACAGCACUGGAUCAAACAAGAUUGAGACUGGCAGUGGGAGCAAUGAACGAGCACACUCAGCAGGGAAGUCCAUCAUGGGUUCUAACCACACAUUGUUUCUCUACUUUGUGGCUUCCAACACGAUUGGAUUUUUUGUUUCACUUUACAUGAUCAAUGUCCUCACCAGCAAUUUCCCUCUGCAGUUGGAGCUUCAAAUUUGUAUUGUCGCGAUGUACAGCACGUACAACACUGCAGUUUUCAGCAUUGCACCGGAGAACGUGCGCUUCUUCGUCCUUCUGUUCUCUGUAGUUUUCCCAACUUUGGUUACACUUGCUGUCCAAAAUGAUCGUCUUUCGACAUACAUCACAAUGGCGAUCUUUAAUCAUAAUGACUUGUACUGCUCGAUCAAACGAGACGCAUGGAGGCGCGACGUAGGAGCCACGGUGCAGCCCAAACUUUGCAGAUAAGAAAUCUGGUAAUUCACAGCAUCACAAACAUGUUACUGGGUCUCCUGACCAUCGUAGAUGCCAAUGUGUGCACAAGGAAAGGAGUAAGGUAAUCAAAUGCUUGAGUCUUGUGUACCUGUUUCGGUGUUGGUUCGGAUGAACCCAUUGAGUUCUCGAUCCUUAACUUCUGGAAAUGCUCCUGAAAGCAUAAAUAUAUGUACGGAUUUAAACCAAUGGCAAAUGGACAUAAUUUACGGACAAUGAUUGAAGAAAAUACAGAUAUAAACGCCUCAGUAUUCCAUUGACGAAAGUUCUAGAUUUGAUGAAUCAAACGUCCCACGUUGAGACUGCGUUAAGGCAAAUGGUUCUCAAACACAAAGCAAUAGUUUGCUACCGAAAACAACCAAAGUCUGACAAAGGGAACCGUCUUACACCUAACCUGUUUUUCCCUCAUCAAAUGAGCGCGUUGAUCUGCAGGUAUUUUCUGCCAUCUCAAAACCUGUUACAAAGAAAUAUAACGUUGAUGUUGAGCUGGAUAGCAUAUUAUACCAAUUAUGUGUACAAACCUAUUGAAAUAAAGUAGCUGUAGUUGCAUAUUACGACAGAUAUUAACGAAAACAAAAGAAGGCUCGCCUAUUCAAGAUCCUAAAUCCCAUGAUUCUUUUGUUUUUAGUUUCAGAAAUUUUCAGAGCACAAACUGGAAAGUACCAAGAUACUUACAUAUUGGGCAUAAUGAAAUGCAUCUUCAUCUUUCAAGCAAGAUUUCAGUGAGCGCAAACCAUCCUGGGAGUUACAUAAGUCAAUCAGUAAUAUAAAAACGUAGAUGCAUCACAUCCAAACACAAGUAUUCAAACACCAACAACUUCUUCAUGCGGUGAGGCAUGUUAAAAAAUAGGGAAGAACAGUUAUUGAAUAGGAAGUUAAAGGACUAAAUUUAUGACCUUGUGUUUGUAGUUCUUGGCUCGUAUGCGUUCAUCUAUUACAAAACCAAUCUGUAACAGGUACAACAGAAAAUAUAAGCAGUAGUCAGAACAUUAAGCAUCGGCAUUCAAAUUGCCGCCAAUCCAAAGUUAAAAGUCUAAAGGCAAAACAGUAUGAUUCUUAUCUCUCAAACAAAAAUGAAACUAUACCCCGGUCUCAGACAUAAAUGAAAUAAGUUCUACUGCCUCAACUGAGUACUGUGAUUAUAUAUAAAUCCAAUUCACCUUGUCAAGUAAUCUCUUAGGAUCUUGAAAUGCUUGCUUCUUAGCCCAGUCAUUAAAUACAUGCGAGAUAAUCGAUCUCUCAUCCACACUGAAUCUAUUGCACAGUGACAGGAGAAUAAAGUCAAACAUGAACAUAACCAACCAAAAAUGCUAGUUAUAAUAGUACACCCAUAAUUGCAAGCAAAACCUUUUUAAGAAGCCAUUUCCAUGGUUUUCCUCCCCAAAUUCCAUCAAUUCUGCAGAGGCAACGUCAAAUUUACUAUGAUGGAGAUCAUUUUGCACCAUAACAACUUCAGAAGGUAGGAGAUUUGGUUUGAGAUCAUCUGUUGACGGAGUAGUUUCUUUUGAAGUGUCAUGAUGCUUUGAUUGCAAGCCUUCUGUACUUACGUCAGCCUACAAAACAAAAAUUGCAUUCAUCCACACUAGACUUAAUAAGAUUAGAAACACUUCAGAUUCUUCACUAUUUGUAAGUUUGACUAAACAGCAGAACAACUGAGGAUAAUGAACAGUAAUACACACCUGGACUUCUCGUAGAUGAUUUGGAAUUUCUUUCAGAAAUCGCGAAGGUUGAAGCAUCUGAAGGAGCCACCUUCUCAGUCAGAGCAACAACAACAAAUAAGGAGGACAGGAAUUCAAGCUAAAACGAACCUGCCAACUGGAAUCCAUCGUAACAUAAAGAAUGAAAAGCUUUUUUCGAGCACGAGUCAUUGCAACAUAUAAUAGGCGUCUUUCCUCCUAUGAUUAGAGUGGGAUUAUUGAGUUAUUGACCAAAAGAAAAAAGAGUGGAAUUAUUGUGACAAACACUUCAAAGCUCUGCAUAUAACUGAAAAAUGUUGAACAAUUUACCACACACCUCAAUGGAGGUCCCAUUUUCUUUUGCAACGCCAUUGAAUUCAUGCAACAACGGAAUCUCAGAUUCAUUUACCUGUGUUAUUGGCAUGAGCAUUAAAGCAAGCUAAGAUGAUUUGAAGAGGUUGAUAUUGUCAUGAAUAUAGUAGAAUAGAAUACCAAUUUCAAGCCAUCAAUUAGGUAUAGCAUUGGCAUGUUUAAUCCGUAAAUCUAAUGACAGAACACCUCAACUCUACACAUAAAUAAAUAAACAACCUGAAAAAUAUUACAGCCACUUGUUAAGGCAAAUACCUUAAUUAUGAAAACUAUAUCCCACUCUAAACCUUUUGACUGCAAGAGAAUGAAAAAGAAAGACAGUAAGCCAAGAAUGUUUUGUAGAACUCCAAAGGAAGUCCAAUAGGGAAAUCAUCGCAAGUAUAAGAGUUAGCGAGGUUCGCAUAAGAGGAUAUCAAAAAGAUCUAGAACCUGAUGAAUAGUAGUCAAAGUGACAGAACUUUGGUUGUCAUGUCUUCGGGAGUGAAAAUUUUCACUCUCCCGCUCAGAUAUGUAGUCGAUGAAAGCUUUGAGUAAAUUAACGCAGCCUUUUUCUUCUGCUACGACUUCUCUCUCCCCUUUUCCCGCAACAAAAUGAGUUGAUAAGAAAUCAGAUACGUCGUCUAGUAGGUACUGAAGAACCUGCAAUGAGAAUAAUCGCAUCAAAACAACAGGGUUGGACCAAGAUUUAAGUGACAACAAUGAUUAACUAACUAAAAUAGAGAAAUUAUUCAUUUAAGACCUUGUUGACUGAAAAAAGGGUUUUCCAAGCAGCGGGUCAUUUAAGCUUAUUGUAUAAAUGACAAUCAUCACAAACGGCAAACUUACAGAUCUCACGUCAUUGUCUUCAUUCAGCAGUUUUCCUCCAUCUACAUCAACGACUGCACGUUGCUCAAGAAGGUACUUCUAAAAACUGAAAGUCAAACGAUAAAUUAUUAAGAAGCAUUGAAUAUAAGCAUGAAACGAAGAAAAUGUUAUGGAAUGGUGAUCCUCAUCCUCAAAGAUGAUUAAAAGCAAUUUGAUUCAAAAAUGACAUAUCAACUCUGGAGAAAUGGAAGACAAACCUGUGGUACCAUAUUCGCAACUGAGGUUAUGACAGCUGAAAUCGAUUGUUCCUGUGUGCAUUGAUAAGUGAGACUACCAUAGAGAUUCACAACUAAAUAAAGACAGGUAUUCCACAGAACAACCUUUACCUCUUUGGAAACACAGAUCUAACAAAAACUAUAACAUUUUGGAUUAAUAUUGACGAAUCAAGAAUAAUGCAAGGGAGCAAGAGAUACUCUUCCUUCUAAUAACAAGGAGGCGUGAAAAGUUUACAGAGUUCCAACAAUUAGAGAACUAAAAUCAAACUAAAAAAAUCACCAAAGUAGACAGAAUCCCACUUCGCCAAAAAUUUGAAAAUAUAUCCUUUUUAUCCAUUGAGAUUCAUGAACUACUACUACUACAUCAUGCCAAUAAGCAAUGCGUAAGAGGUGCUACAAUUUACCGAAUAUAUUUACCCUGAGAACAAGUUUUGAAAUCAUCUCUAGUGUUAACAGCACCUUGCGUCCUUGGGUAAGCUGAGUCCUAUUAUCAAGUAAAGAGACCAAUCAGUACAUAUCCAAAAGAUCUUAAAUGCUUGUAAUACCAAAUAAGAAAGAAACAUGAGUAUAUCUUGAAUUAACAAUGCAAAAAUGUAAUGUUAAAGCAUCUUGUCAUACAGACCUCUUCAAGGUACCAGAAAUUUUGGCACUAAAGAUGUCACAAGCAGCUGAUAUGAAGCUGCAUUUUCUGUGAGUUGAAAUUUUGUCAAUAUAAUCAAUCACCUGAAGAGAGAGAGAGAGAAAGACAGUGAUAUCCAGAGAUGUGAGCCUAAAUGCUGAGUGUGUAAAAAAAGAAGAUUAAAUGGAUAGCAAGAAUAUACAACUUUAAUGCUGAAAAGAACAUUGAAUAUGAUGCUCAUUCAUCAUUGCCAUUGAACGUGUACCUUCUUCUUUUCCUCUUUCUCAAAAGCAAGUAGAGCCUUGAAGACUCGCCUAUAUGAUCCAUCAUCACAACCAGGCAAAGUUGUUUUAAUCAUAGCAACAAUGGCUCUAACUACCUGCCAUAAGAAACAUGCUACAUCAACAAGAUCACAGAGUGUACCAGAAACCGUAAUGUAGCAAAAUCUUAGAUAAAAUAGCUGGCCAAAAGGGAAUGGAAAAGCAAGCACAAAAAACAAUGAAAAGGACCAGUGAUGCCAAAAUUCUGGUGGAAAAGGUGAAAAGCUUACGUCUAUUACAGUUCUUGUAUGCAUUCUUUAUAACUUAAGUUCUACGCAGCAAAAACCACCUUAUGCACAACAAUAUUGGAAAAAUUAGAUACAUACAACUGAGAAGAUAGGUUUUCAUAGCUGGACAAGUGCUAACUACCUUCUUCCUAUAAACUGCCACUCCAUGAACAUUAAAUGGUAUUUUCCUUUCACGCAAGGCUGUCUGGAAGACUUUUCCUGAUACCUGUAGUAUAAAAUACAAAAGAAAAUGUGAGCAAAAUGUCUUAUAUGAUUCACCUCAUUCACAUUAGCACUAAGGCAAGUACGCUUGACCUGCCUCCGGUAAAGGAUUGCUAUAUUUCCAUAGGAGCACCCUGCUUCUGACCGUUUAGAUGCAGUCUCCAGGAUCUUGUCGACAACAAAGGCGCAUUGUGCAUCCUCAUUGUGACUUUCCUUGAUAAUUACCUACAUUUUGCCAGUAAAACCGGUGUCACUAACUAAAAGGACUGAAAAAUGACAUCAAAUUGUACUUGUUGGAGCAAGGAAAGAUUAAGUACCUUAGACCCAGAAGAAUUGUCCGUGUCAACAUUCUUUAGUUGGCAUCGCUUCUUAUUGUUUUUUAUAACAGAAGAUGCAGCUUCCACAAUAUAGCGUGUGGACCGAAAGUUUUUAUUAAGCCUAAUCUGAACCAUAAAGUUAUGUCAAAUCCCACAGAACCCCAUAAAAUAAAACUUACUUUCCUGUAAUUGUACAAUAUAUUUGUUCUAUACUAUAUAUAAUGAAAAAAGACACUGUGAAUGACAUAAGAUAACAUAGCAGUCAAGUGCGAAGCGAACCUCUUUGUUAUUUGAAAAAUCUUUACGAAAAGAAUCAAAUCCAGAAAUGUCCGCCCCAUUGAAACUGAAAAUGGACUGCAGCAGGAUAUAUGUUAUUUGAUUUAGAAAAGAUAAGGGCUGGAUUAAAAUGAGCUGAGAGAGAGAGAGAGGGAGAGAGGGAGCAAUAACAUUGGAUUUCCAUAAUAAAUCAACAACAUGCCUGAUCAUCAUCACCAACAAUGGUUAUGUGGUUAUGAGAGGCGAGAAUCCGCAAAAGACUAUAUUGCAUAGCACUUGUGUCUUGAAACUCGUCUAUUACAAUAGCUUUCCAUGACUCCUGGCACUCCUUCAACACUAAUUAAAAGAACACCAUGUAUCAACAUUUAGCAUUACUUGUAAAACUAGAUAAAUCAAUGAAAUAUACUUAGAUGAUAGAGACCUUCAGGAAAAUCACUUAGCAGCUUCACAGAGCAGCUAAUUAAGUCGUGGUAGUCCAAAGCGUUGCACGAUUUCAAGAUAUCAUUGUAAUUCCUAAGAAUUUCACCCUGAUUCAGAUUGAGAGCUAAAACUCAUAAGCAAUAGUUUCAAAGAACUGAAAUCAUAUCUGAAAUUCUAGUUCUGAGCGUACUCCUGUCACAUCACCCAUUCUUCGGCAUUCAGCGGGAGUCUUUCCAGAAGCUUUUGCCUGAAACAUAAAUAAAUUUAUUGCCUAAUGCCACAUAUUGUAAGACACACCAUUGUAUUGGUCAUUCUAGCUUGAUUGUAGCUAAUAUUUUUUAAAUCGAAUGAUUAGAGUUCUUAAUCCACAAUAAUCUGAACAUUAAAUUUGGUAUUCAAGACUGACCUGUGUCACAAACUUCAGCCAUUUCUUUGAUGCAUCCUUAAAAUGAUGUGGAGAUGUUACGCCGUUAGACUCUUCCCCAUCUAUAGCAACAUUAAGAUUCGUUUUACUCUUUUCAUCUUCUGAUAAACGCACAGCUUCAAUGAUUGCUCUUCUCUGUUGCCCAUGUCCAUAUAUCAAAAAUUCUGGUCUGCGCUCGAGUCUAAAACACAAGGCAACAUAACAGACUCAGCUAUACCACCAUAUGUAUGGUGUUCAAAAUCAAGGGAGGUGAAUCAAUAGCUUACUUCUCAGCAUGUGAUCGGCAAAGUUGCAAUGAAAAUGAAUGAAAUGUACUGAUUGUUAGUAGUUUGCCGUUGCUUUCCCAGUCACAGAUCCAAUUCGAUCUCUCAUCUCGGAAGCUGCUGCUGUAGUGAAAGUCAUUGCUAGAACGUUCGACGUGCUAAUGCCCUAAGAACACCCAAAAAAAAAAAACGAAUAAGAUUUCGAUCAUAAACAAGAAAUGUAGAGAAACAGACAAUUAUGAAAGAAAAAGUUAAGAGGGAAAGUAGCAACACCUCAUUGAGCAGCAUUAGAACGCGCCCAACUAUCGUUGAAGUCUUUCCACUUCCAGGGCCGGCAACAAUCAUCAAAGGUACUGAACUAUCGCUGCAAGCUGCCUCGAGCUGCCUUUCGUUGAGAGAAAGCAAAUACUUCAAAUACUCAUCCGGCAUGUUAGGCAAUCCAUGGUUAACAGAAUCUGUUUGGUUUUCACUACUCAAAGGCGGCGCUGAUGCGGCACUAACGACACUACCACAACUCCCAAUAUCAUCACGCUGAAUGUCCACACUCGUUUUCUGCUCGAUUAAAGCGUCAAUUUCCUGCAAAAUACUCUCAUCGAAAUCAUCAUCGUUAAGAAUUCCAGAUGCAGAGAAAGAAUCAAAUGAAGUCAGAAACUGCGGUUGUCUGAUUGGAGUUGUGAAAGAAUCCGAUUUUGACACGCUUGAUUCGGUCCGGCUAACGCUUAAGCUCCCGGAACACGAAGCACUGCCAUAUUCACCACGCGCUGAAUUGUACCGGCUUGCGGAAAUCGGAGGCGGUGUUCUUUGAACUCUAUUGAGCUGAGUUGGCGUUUGGAUUCCAUUUCCGCCACAGAUUCUGGAAUUUGAAAAACACAAUUGAAUUGAUUUAAAUUGAAGCAAGAAAACGGCCGAGUAGCAAAAAAAUAGUAAGAAGAUGAAACCUUUGAUUCCUGAACGACUUACUUGGUAUGAGGGAGGUGAUGAUCAGGUGAAACGGCGUCGUUGCGGGGGCGUUUGCGAUCAAUGAGGGCCUUGGCGGCUCUGCAAUUCCGAGAGAUGCGGUUUCUUUGUUCCGCCGUGAGCCCUCCGCCGUACGCCUGAACGUUUUCCUUGGACAUUGCUUCGAAGAUUCCAACGGAGGAUUUGGCCUGACGGCCUGACCAGGCUGAUAACAGUGUAAAACCUUAGGAGCUAAGGAAAAACUAAGAGAGAGAUCGUAGAGAGGGGAAAGUUUUUUGUUUUUUGGAAACUUAGAGAGGGAAAGUUUGUUAAACCUGCAUAAUAUUCUUUUCGUUCAACUUGUCUACAAUAAUUACCACUCUUGGUAUUUAUACAUUUGUAACACACCUCACUAACUAACUAAGACCACUACCAAUCAUACAUAAACACUUGUCAUAAUCCUAUGCACUCAUAGUAUCAUCACUCUAACAUCCCCCUCAAGCUCGUGUGGCAGAUUGCCAAGUAUGAAAUUGGAACAAUUACGAGUGAACUGGGGUGAACACAAGCCUUUGGUGAACAUGUCGGCAUAUUGAUCUGCAGAGGUAACAAACUGCAAAAUAAUUGUCCUUCGAUGAACUCUUUCACGAACAAAGUGGCAAUCAAUCUCUAUAUGUUUGGCUUUAGAGUGCAAUACAGGAUUAGUCGCAAGAGCCAUUGCUGAAAUGUUAUCACAAUUCAAAACUGGAACAGAAGGAUAACCAACAUGCAAAUCUCGAAUAAGUUGUUGUAUCCAGAUAACCUUAGCAGUGGUUGUAGCCAUUGCUCUAUAUUCAGCUUCAGUGGAAGACCUACUCACUGUAUGCUGCUUUUUAGAACUCCAAGAGAUAGGAGUAUCUCCCAAAAAAAUGACAAAACCCGUGGUUGAACGACGAUCAUUGGGAUCCCCUGCCCAAUCAGCAUCUGUAUAAGCUUUCAACUAAGAUGAACCUAAUUUAAAACACAAUCCCAAAGACAUAGUGCCUCUGAGAUAUCGCAGAAUACGUUUCACAGCAGCAAAUAAGUGGCUAAGGGUGAAUGCAUAAACUGACAUACUUGAUUGACAUAAAAAGAAAUAUCUAGUCUUGUAAAUGUUACGUAUUGCAGUGCCCCAACAAUACUUUUAUAAGUGGUAGGAUCAGAAACAGGUUCACUACCAUGAUUCAGAAGCUUCUAAUUAGGAUGACAAGGUGUGGGAAAAGGUUUAUAGUCCAGCAUAUGCAUAUUUUGAAGGAGUUCUUUGACAUACUUGGUCUGAUGAACAAAGAGUCCCUGAUCCUGAUACUCAAUCUGUAAACCAAGAAAAUAAUGCAACACACCUAGAUCUUUCAUGUCAAACUCACUAGUUAACUGACUAAUAACAUUAUGAACCUUCACAUCAUCAUUACUAGUGAGAAUGAUAUCAUCAACAUAUAAUAAGAGAACAAUAAUUGAUGAACAAUCACACUUGACAAAUAAUGAAGGAUCUGCAUAUGAGAUUGAGAGUUACAAGGAAAAGAUAUACAAGACUUAUUAAGUGUUGCAAUGACAAUGGAAUGUGCAGGAUCGCCUAAUCAACAAUGCCACAAUGUAGAAGAAAUCUUUUGACCCACAAAUGCAACUGGAUUAAAAACAGGAGAAAUAGACCUCUGUGGUUUGAUAUGGGAAGUGGAUAGACAACAUUAUUACUCAGCCCUUGGAAUAGCACUCUCCCGAUGACCUUGUCCUAUAGACAGAGAGAAACAUCAUCAAUGAUACAACGACACUAAUUAUCUUUGCACAACUAAUUCAUAGAUAAUAAGUGUUGUGAUAGUUUUGGAACAUGUAACAAAGAGUUUAACUUGAAAUUAUGUGACUUAGUGAGAAGAGAAGAGGAACCAAUAUGUUUGAUAGCUAAACCUUCACCACUAGCAGUGGUCACAGUAUCAUUUGAUGGAUAAAUUUGUUGCCAUGUGCAAGUUUGACAAAUCUGAGGUCAUAUGGUUAGUUGCUCCCAAGUCAAGAAACCAGAAAUCUUGUUGAAGAGUUGAGGAUGAUGCACCAGCUCGUGCUUGCACAGCAAGAGGAGGAUUUUGUGAGGAUAUAAUUGAGAGAUACAUAUGUGGUAUGACAGGAUACUGAAACUCGAAGCUAUUAGACUGUGGAAUCAUGCCUUGUGAAAGACCACAUGGAUUCUAGCUAGGUGCUUCACCAUAUGACCCAGUAGGCAUUGGAGUUGGCAUAGACGAGGAUAAACCCUGAGAGAAAUGCUAUGAUGUGUCUGUGAAAUUCUUAUUCCGAUCAAAGCAAGUAGCAGCAACACGGCAGCCUCUGUGACAAAUUUGACAUCCAUGUUGAAAACAAUUCAAUGCAGAAUGACCUUUGCGAUCACAUAUUUGCAUAAUGGCCUCUGUGAUCACAUAUUUGCAGAAUGGCCUUUGCAACCCUAGAAAGAACAAGGCGCGAAGAAGACCAAAUGUGUACGUUUCUCUUUGUUUUUUUUUCCCUCCUAAUCGUGCUGUUCGAAAUCACGGACCUCGGGCUUGGGCCUAAUGGGCCCAAUUAUGAGGCCUAUUAUCUCCGGUCUUCUCGUUCUACUUCUAGUUACCCAAAUUAAGAACGUGCUGGUUCGCUUUUAGCGCGAGAGAGAAAUGGAGGCCCUGAUUGCCUCGUACGGAAACUCGUCGUCGGGCUCAGACUCCGAGACGCCGGCUCCACCUCCACCACCACCUCCGGAGCUCAACAACCCUCAAGAACCGACCCCUGCGCUGCCUCCACCUCCUCUGUCACUUCUCGACAGCCCCAAUUCCUUCGGUAACCUCUGAUUCCCAUCAAUUUUCAUCUUUUAGCUUUCUGUUGUGAUGGCUUUUUCCGAGUUGCCCACCAAGUGUUUGAUAUUUUGCCUCUGAAGGAUUUCUGGACUUCUCGGCAAGCGUCCAGCCGAGCAGAGUUCGGAACUUUCCUCACGUCGAAGGGAACUACGCAGUACAUGUAUACAUCCCAGGUUAUCAAAAUUCUCGAAAUUUUCAGCUCCAUUAGCAAAUGCGAUCGCUUUGCACUUAGUUUUUGCUUGUUUAAUUGUGUGGUUCCAGUUUAUAUACCACCAGCACCAAGGAAAGAGAUGGCCUUGUUUUUGAACAAGCUAGCUUCUCUGGUGCCUUGUCUCCAUGCGGUUGACGUUGACUUCCCGCUUGACAUUCUGCGUAAGGACGAGCACAAGCUUGAACAAGUUGCUUUAGGCAGAGAGUUCCAUAUAAGUCUCGGAAGAACUGUUCCGAUUCGGGUGCACCAGAUUGAUUCCUUGGUGACAAUGCUGCGGCAGAAGCUUCAGAUUCAGAGGCGGUAUGGUUACAUUUACAUUCUCUUGUCUGCAUUGCGUGAAUUUAGUUCUGUUAUUUAACAUAAUUCUGUAAGCCUGCAAUUUUUUCGUCCAUUUUCGGUUUAACACAUUUUGUUAUUGUGCAACAGGUAUUGGAUUGAUUUUAGCAAGUGGGAGGUUUUUGUUAAUGAUGAUCAGACCCGGACCUUUGUGUCUAUCGAAAUCAUUGCUGCUGGGUUAGCUGAGGUAUGAUUGCUAGCUUUCUCUCUUGGUGCAAUUCUAAAUGUUUUCAGUUGUUAUAUGGGCUUAAGAUUUAGUAAGGACUUGCCGAAAGUCAUGGGAUUUUGAAAUAUCGAUAUCUUGCUUGCUUAUUAGCUUAGAUUUGGUCUUCGAUGCACUUGUAACAUGAAAAACACAAACGAAAACUAAUGCAUGAUAUGCUCAUGGUUUUAACAUGUGUUGUCCUGGCGUAAAUCAUGUUCCUAAUCCUGUCAUGUGAGUAUAAGCCUAUGAAACUCAGGGCAUGUUUGGCGGGCCGGACAAGAUUGGAAUUGGUAUUUCAGACUAGUUAGGUUAGGAUUGAACUGGAUAGGAUAGGUUUUUUUGUCUAAAGAUUGGUGUAGACUGUCUUAACCAGACUAGGAACGAUGGGAUUUAAAACGUGAAACAGAUCCGCGACAUCCCAACGAUGACCCGCCCACCCAACAACUCUGCUCGUGACUUGCAACACCUCUCGUACCCUCCACGCCCCUUGAGGCCCGUCAGACCACUCUGAUAUCCUGGAGGGGUGAAACGUGGUUACUAGAAGCAUACCUGUUUUCGUAUUAAUGCACAGUUGAAGCAGCUUUCAUUGUCUACAAGUCUGAAAUAUUUCAACUUCCAUUGAUUUCAGAUAACAAAGCAGAUUCAAGCUGUGAAUGAGGUGUAUAAGCUUCACAAUCUUCCUGAAUUUUACAAGGUUAGCUUUUUCGUGCUUUUCAAACUCGAAAUUACUUACUGAAUAUAUGACAAUAUAUUGGAGCAAAUGAUUGUGCCUGAAUGCUACUCAUUGCUCAAAAAACUAAAUCACUUCAUGGGGUGUUGGUGAUCACAGGAUCCGCGCCCUCACAUCUCGGUAGCUUGGGCAUUGGGUGACAUCGGCAAUUCCCUGAAGAAAGUGGUUGAAGAAGAAAGACGAAGAUCUACCAUCGGAGGAUCGUUACAGAAAUGUAUUUUUACCAGUAAAUUCAAUGGUAUUGAAUGUAGGAUUGGUAAUAAAACACACAAAAUAUGUAAAUUUUCUGAACAAUAAUGUAGCCAUUUAACUAUAUUGUGAAAUUCCGAGAAUAUAUCGCUGAGCAUUGGAUGAGAAGACAUUUCUUCGUUGGUGUCGAACUUCAUGCCGAAGGUAUAGACACCGUGUAAACGCCAUCAUCCAUGCAGUCUCCUGUGCAUUAUUUAGUAUUGUCUCAGUUUCUCCAAACUUGAAUGCUCCUAUAAACCCACUCUUGACCUUUCCGUCAUCUGCGAUUACCGGAAAGCUGGCAAGGAUGUUGCCGUUAACCUACCUAACCGGCUAGGAUGUUGCCGUCAUCUCCAAACUUUAAAUACCGGAAAGCCGGCUCCAAACUUCAAUGUGCUACUAGUUUUUGUAUGCGAGAGCUCCACCUCCAUUGUUGUAACAGCAUCUGAUGCGGACUAGUCCUUCAUUCCCGUUACUCUUUGCUAUCUCCACUUCGAACUUGGCGUAAUGGCUCCCGGCCUCCUCUCCGGUGAAAUUGAGAAACCCCGGAGCUGGCGUUUUCAUUCUGUUGUCCGUAUAUCUUGUAUUACAAGUAUUUGUUGUGCAAAAUGCAAGCUAAGUUCAAUUUAUGUUUAUGUGUGUGUGUGUGUUGCCACUUUGUCACUUUUCCAACGUUUUCUCCAAAAUUGUGAUUUUGGUGAAUCCUAAUAACAAUUCCCUCGUUAAUCAUUGGGACGAGCACCAAGGCAGUUUUGAUUCCGUGCACAACGGCGAUACCUCGAAAGAAAUUGAUUCUAACCCAGAAAGAUGUUUUAAAUCAAAGUUGAACAAGGGAAGAAAACUUUUGAAUCGCAAUCACAUGUCUGGUCAAAUUCUUGAACAGUUGAUGUAUACAGACGUUCCUUGCUUAUGACACGACUUAUGAGAGGAUGUAUGUAUUGCAUUUGCAUCAAAAAAGAGAGAGAAGGUUGUAAGUGGUAAGGGAACGACUACCGAUGCCGCUCCACUUCUAAUCAAAGGGAUCGAUCCGAGGGUCGUGUUCACUUGCCAUCGCCAUUCCAGUGCAAAGGCAUGUCGGGCACAUUACCUGCCACAUUUACAGACGCAAUGUUAGAUAUAGCUGCCAUUUGGAAGUCACUUCUCAAAAUUUUGCUACUAAAUUAAUCUUAGACUUCAUUUCCAGUGCAAUUUUUUGCUACUAAAUUAAGCUUGUGAAUAUAGUACAUCUAAGCGGCAGGCACUAAAAGGAAUUUAGUAUGCAAUAAACAUUCAACGGACUAACCUUUCCCGCUCCUGAGCAAUUUGAACAUCGUUCAGUUUUUGGCAGAGAUAGGGGUUGGUUUCCGCCAUCAGCUGUCGAUACUGGUUCAGUAAGAACAAGGGUUCCAGUGCUGGAGCAACGAGCACAAGCAAGAUAUCCUGCGUAAGUAUCAAAUACACAGGUAAGUUGACAUAUGAAACCAAUCUGUGUAAACUACACUGUAAUAGCAGAAGAAUAUGCAGUACGAGAGAAAGAGAGAGAGAGAGAUUUAGAGAGAGAAGUUAAUACUUCAUAUGUAAUAUUUUCUAUAUCAUCAAUCUUACAAUAUUAAGACUAUAUACUAUAUGAAACUGCUAACUAACUCUAACAACCUCUCUAACAACCUUUCUAAUCUUUUGACAAGUGUCUUCAUAUUCUACCAUUGGAUUACUAUCCUUAACAUCCCCCCUCAAGCUCAGGAGAGGUAGAAUCCAAACUGAGAUUGCGACAAUGAAUCUGAAAGAGAGGAGCAGAUAAUCCCUUGGUCAGUAUGUCUGCAUAUUGCUCACUGGAAGACACAAACUGAACAAGCAACUGCUUCUUUGCAACUCGUUCGCGAACAAAAUGAAUAUCAACCUCAAUGUGCUUUGUGCGUUGAUGUAGAACUGGAUUGGAUUAAGCAAUUACUGACCUUUGUGCAUCUUACUAUUCCUACUUCACCAGUUUUGUAUUGUGAUAAUAUGUCAGCAAUCGCAUUAACAACCUCUCUAACAACCUUUCUAAUCUUUUGACAAGUGUCUUCAUAUUCUACCAUUGGAUUACUAUCCUUAACAAUCUGAACAUCUCCAUCGUAUAUAUUUAAAGCUACAGUACAUAAAACGAAAAGUCAGAAAUAGAGGACAUUAUCACACCAGUUCCAAGACAAUAUUUGCAUCGUUUAUGCUCCUGCUGUUUCACAUUGUUUAUUUCAACUACCAUCAAUGCUGAGAUCACUCCGACUGCUCCUCCAGAGAAUGACGCCACUAUGGGAUCAACUUGACUGCAGUUUGAAAGUAAAGGAGAUCAAUAAACAAAACUGUUAACAACAUAGUAUCAACAUUAUUUAGCUUCGUUUCAAGAAAUAUGACAUCCUAGGUUUUUCUAAUGUGUAAAAAUUGAGGAUCCUUGACUAUAUCGGUUCCCAAAGCAUUUGAUUCCUACGUUACAGACGGAAAACAGUAACAAUCGAAUUUAAAGAUUCAUAACACGAUAGAUGGUAGGUCUCGGGUUCGAGACUUGGGAGCAGCCUCUCCAUAAAUGGGGGUAAGGCUAGCCGACAUUCACCUCUCCCAGACCCUGCGUAAAGCGGGAGCCUUGUGCACUGGGUACGACCUUUUAUAACACGAUAGAUGGUACAAAUUUUCAAAACGAUAAUUACUAGAGAACAGGAGGGUUAAUAGCCUGAGAUAUGAGCAAUACCUCAACUGCAACGGCAGAUGCAUAUUUACUAUAAAGUCUUUAUAUGAUGUGCCUCCUAUUCCCAGCUUCAACUCCAACUGAAAGAUGUAAAGGUAAUUGUAGGCAAAGAGUUACAAACAUAACCGAAUCCAUGUUUUAUAAGCAACAACUACACUUAUUUUGUUAUGUUUCCUCAUUUUUUACUUGCAAAUUCCGAACCAUAUUGUCGGACCAGUAAAAAGAAAAUAAUGUUUAUGAUAACUGUUAAAACUAAUCACAACAAGUUAAUGCAUAAAGAACUUACGGAGGGUGCUAUGAGGCCACCGAAAAGGAUAAACCCCGCAAUAAUUGAAUAACAAACAGCAUAAUAUUGCUUAAGGUUGUCUGAACUCUGCAAGCAAUGAAUUCACCUUGUGAUUAAUACUUUGCACAAACACUAGUUUUCGCAAUUUUUUAUGAAUCGACAAAAGGCUACAACAAAAUAUGGCUAAAACAUGUGAAAAUACAUGUCUUCACAGGGGCACCAGCUUACCAGGGGAGGCAAAAAUGGAAUGAACGAUGGAAAACUAGGAAGUUCGUUUUCUUGAUCUUCAUUUACCGCUCCAAGCUCUGCACGUUUAAUCCGCUGUUGUAUCCUCAGCCCGCGAACCUACGCAUAUCGAAGCUCAUUCUUAAAGAACACAUUUCUAAUGGCAAUUGGAGAGUAAUUUAAAACAUGCUAAACUGAGAAAGUGGUAGCAACAAGCAAUUGCUCUCACUUCCUCCAUAUGCAAGAAAAUUUUGUUGCGACGACUCCGAAUAUUAUCUUGAAUUUCCUGCAGCUCCAUUGUCGCAAAGUCCUGCACUGUUUCAGGCCCCUCUAUGAUACAAAAUCUGCACAAUUAAGCAUGUAAAAACUAAAAAUUACAGGCUAUAAAACAAUUUCCGUAUCAUUUUUGGGAGCUCUCUCUCUCUCUCAAACCAGAAGGCAGAGCUUUCUGUUUCUCUUGAGGUUUCUUUCACUGGUAAAUUCCAGAGAAGCAGAGAAGAAGGCUCUCUGAGAAAUGGCGAUGGUGCAAGUGGAGACAAAACAAAUGUAUAUCUUGAAGCACCGAAAUUGUGCAGAACACUUGUCAACUACCGAACUCUAGGAUUAGGAGAGAGAGAGAGAGAGAGAGUGAGUGACCGGCAAAAAAAAAAAUGAGGGAAGAAUCACCCACAUUUAAAAAUGAUUUUUAGGGGACCUGGUGUCGUUGGAUUCGAGUAGUUGUUCGGUAUGUCACAUUUAAAAUUUUAUUAUCUGAUGAUAAACGUCGAAACAUAAAGAUAGGUCAUCUCUAACCGAAUGAGGACUAAAAAGUCAUGUUUAGUACUAUAAUCCUGCAAUGAAUUAUAUUUUAAUAAAUAAUAUCAGGUUAUAUUUUAUACCAUAUCUAACCGAGUGGGUCAAAUGAUCAUAUGCCAAACAUAGCCUUUUGACAAAAAACUCAUCUCCAACCGAGGGGGCUAAAUGGUCAUAGACCAAACAUAAUUGCUCAAUAAUUUAUUAUUCUAAUUGAAUUAAUAUGAUUAAUUAAAUUAAAUUACCAUAUUAAAAUAAGAUUUCAUGAUAUAUUUUGAGUGCCACUUGCCACAAUACCGAAGAAAGCAUGGUAUUAUUGCACCUGCCACAAAGUCAAGCUUGACAUUCUGCUGCUGGAGGGCUGGCUGGCUAGCUGAAAAUGGCCAGCCUGCUGGCCUGAUUUGGGAGGUUUUGGCCCAAUGGGGCCCCAAGCCCUUUGGCCUAGCCUUCGGUUGGAAACGGUUUUCGUGUUAUUCUGAGUUAUUUUUAACCCUAUGAUCCUUUGGCCGGAUCGAUUGGAGAUGACCUUAGGUGUGUUGAUUGUCUUUGAGACAUCGGAGGUUCUGUGUGAUUGAAUACUUCACCCUCCUCCAAAGGCGCCACUCUUGAGAAGGUUACUUGCCUCAUGCAAACAUUGUGAAUUGCAAGUGAUGAAUUGUUCUGAUGAUGAGGUUUAUUUUUUAACUCAUUAUGUUUCAAGUUUAAACAUUUUUCCCUCUCUUAGUGUAAAAUAUUGUUUGUGAUAAAAAAACUUAAAAUGAGACACUCUCCUUCAUAUAUAAGAUGAUCAAGUGUGAGAUUAAUACUUUUAAUGAGUGACUCAAUUAACCAUUUUCAUUUCUUACGCGUUCAAAAUUAGACAAAUUCUUUGCAUACAUUUAAAAAAAAAAGAUAUUAAGGAGAGUAUAAAAUUAUUACAUUACGAAGAGAGAGUUUCGAACUCGGGACGUAUGAGUAGAACCCUAACGCCUCUCCACUAGGAUAUUAGACCAAUACUGGUCUUGAAUUUUUUUGGUGCCCGGAGCGAAUGCUCAAAACGUGUCUUUUUCCAGUACAACAUAAAUUAAAAAGAAAUAUUUAUAGAGGGCUAGAACCCAAUCGAAGCUGGGGGACUAGGCCCUUACGCCUAUAUUAUAUUACUUACCUAAUACAAACAUUUCUGAUAGAUUUCAGAGGCUCUAAAUGGUCAAACACUUCGUCCUUCCCAAAACCGUUACUGUUGAGAGGGUUCCUUACCUAAUACAAACAUUUUACGUUUACUUAGAACUAGAAAAAUAAGAAUUGCAGGUGAUGAAUUGCUCUAAUGAUGAUGUUUAUUUUUUAACUUAUUGUGUUUUAAGUUUAAAUAAUUCUGUUUCUUUGAUAUAUAUAUUAGUGUAAAAUCAUUCGUAAUAAUAAAAAAAAAGAAUAAAAAUGAUACUCUCAUUUAUAUACAAGUUGAUCAAGUGUGAGAUUAAUAAUUUUAAUGAGUGAAUUAACUAUUUUCAUUUCUUACGAGUUCAAAAUUACACAAAUUCUUUGCAUACAUUUUUUUUUUAAAUAGAAAAUUUCUAUUAUUAAGGAGAGAGUCCUAAACUAUUAGGUUAUGGAAUGUGAGUAGAAACCUAACGCCUAUCCACUAGGAUAUUAGACCACCAGAGCUGAUCCUGAGAUUUUUGGUGCCUGCGUCAAAAUAUGUCCUUUUCCAGUACAACAAUAUAAAUUAAAAAGAAAUAUUUAAAGAGGGCUGGAACCCAGUCGAAGCUGGGAGGCUAGGCCCUCACGCCCAUAUUCUAUUACUUGAAGAAACAAUAUACAACGGGGGGAAUCAUAGUACCGAAACCCCAACAAUAAAAAACAAAGUCACAUGCAACCACUCCAAGCAGUCAACUUGGCCAUUACAUAUUGAAUCCAAAAGGUUGACGGCCUAUUCUCUGCAUACAAUGCACAGAAGAUAACAAGAUUACUAAUAUAAAAAGAACAUCUGAAAAGAUGAACAUAUGCAUCAACAAAUAAGCAGGGGCGGAUCCACAGUGGGGUCGUCGGGGUCAAACGACCCCUUGGAAACCAUGGAAACAACCUUGAAGCUCCCAUAUGCGACCUCUUGGAGCUGGGGUUGUCGGGGUUGUCAGGAAGAGGAAGAAGAAGACUCGGCAGGAAGAGGAAGAAGAAGCAGCUCGCGCGACGUGUAGGUUCUGUGUAGAGUUUCUGACCUUUAAUUCCCACUUCACAAAGACGAGAGAAAGAGAGAGAGGGAAGGAAAGUCCUCGGGGUGGUGGUGAUGUAGACCUUCGUCGGGGUAGUGGUGUGGGUGUGCGUGGGUGUGGAUUCGAUCGGAGAGAGUGAGAGGGUUAAAGAGUGAAAAAGAGAGAGAGAGAGAGAGAGAGAGAGAGAGAGAGAGAGAGAGAGAGAGAGAGAGAGAGAGAGAGAGAGAGAGAGAGAGGAGAGUUCGGGGAGAUGAGAAGGAGGACAAUGGGGACUUGCCCCGUGGCAAGUUGUGAUAGGUAGGAAAUCCCAAAAAGGGAUCCGGAUAGGGUAAGUAAGUGGGGACCAAAUUGUAAACUUCAUUUAACUGUAGGGAAAUUGUGAAAUUACAAGGAAAUCUUUGGGGAGGGGUUUUACAGAAACCCUUCUCAACACUUAAAAGCAAACUGCGUGCUUUUAAUCAGGUUUGGCUCUAUAAUUGAACUUGUAACCAUGCCUUUCCCUAUGACGGAAUUGUGAUAUGCUUUGCCAGAUAUUCACAAGGAAUUCAUUUUUCUUUUUCCAAUUGCAAAAUAUUAGUGAACAAGUUGUUUCUUCUAUGAGAGAUCCAAGCAUAAUGGUUGGGUAGAUGCAGAUGAGAAAAUCAGCAGUUGCUGUAUUUGGCACAGUAAGAUAUUAACUCUUACAUCUAAAUUGAAAAACAUGAAAAUUUCCUAGUUCUCAAGGUCUCACGUGCAUGCUCAGAUACAUUUGUGCUUCAUAUUUGUGUGUUUGAUUCCGAGAAGGCUGACAAGUUGAAGCAAUCUCUUCCUCCAUGUUUGAACAUUCAGGACCUUUGAACAAGGAUUUUGGAGUAGCUGGUUGCGCUAUCCUACCAAGACCCGAUGAAAUGACGAUAUGCAUGCCGUUUCUGUUAAAAAAAAAUAUCCUUAUUGACCCCCCAAACAUUAUUUCCUGGAUCCGCCACUGCAAAUAAGUAAACCAUUCUAAGUGCAAUUUUAGAAGUGAUACGCUCCAAGUGUGAUAUUGGACAGAAGAGCGGCAGCUUCAACCAGUUCUGCUAUAUCCGGCUGGAUGAGAGCUGCUAAAGACAUGAUUGUUCCCUAAUAACAUGAAUAAAUUGAGUAAACACCAAAAGUAGCGCAGCAAGGGAAGGAGAUUUGAAGUAGAUGAAGAGGUGUAAUACCCGUAUAUGCAGCGCAUCAUUUCUGAUAGAUCAAAUCGAGCCAAUUCCUGCCAACUCCAAUGCCGAUAAUCCUACAGUAAAGCAUAAAUCUUAUUCUCUUCUGAUAAAGAUGUGUGUCCCUGACUCCAACGUGUUUGACGCACAUUCCCUACCCAUACAUUGAAACCUUCAUCUGCAAGGACGAAUCCCAGUUAUUCUUCUGGAGAAUUUAAGAACCAUGAAUCACCUGGUCAAGAAAAGCCAGUAACCAAUUACAAUUGAGUUUGAAGCACAUAAGAGCCUAAUUUAAAAUGUAUCCCAUGGAUGUUCAUCAAUUUACACAAUAGUUAGUUUCAAGAAAGGAAAUUUCAACAGAACCUGAAAACUUCAGAUCAGGGGGCACCAAAUAGUGAGCUAUACAUUCAAAAUUUGAAAUAAUCAACUUAGUGGGACCAAUAUGUUGAAAAAAUUGGAAGGAGCUAUGAAAGUAAGGCUUUUCACUAAUCAGACGUCCAGAGAAUCAAUAUUUUACUCACGGAUCAGUUACGGGGAACACUCCCCACCAAAGCAAACUCUUUCGUCUGAAUCUGGAAAACAAGCAGCAGUGGAUUUUAACAGUCUGGGUAUCUCAAAGUUACUUUAAUCACAAAUUUAACAAUUAAACAUAUAAAUGGGCAUUAUUUAGUGAAAUAUUAGUAUAGUACUCACUGUGUGCUCGGAACAAGAGUACCCAGAAAGCUCAAUGAGCUGCGCACAGAGGACUACAGCGGUGAACGACAGCGACCGAUUCUGUAAAAUUCAGUCGAGUUUUGGGUGAUUUCGGAGGUCAAGAGGCUGAUAAGGAAAGCUGCGACCGAAGGGCACUGGUCUGGAAGAAAAGGCUCAGGUCACUGCUGUCCCAAUUCGCGAAGGAAGUGCCCCCAAAACAAUUUCGGCCCUGGACAGGUGCACUGUUUGCACUGGACCAGGGCCGGCCGGCCCAGGCGAUAACGUCCCCCAAACAGUACAUAUACAGAUGCUAGAAAUAUAUUAAUGUAACCUGAAACUACUAGAACCAUUCAAUUCUAGCGUCUACAGCUUUAGCAUUAGUUGGUACAUGGGACAUUCUUCCAAAGAGGGAGAUGAGCUCGUUGAGGCUCUUAUUUAUUCCCCCUCUUGAUGUGCCCUUCUAGGCUGCUAAUUCCAGACGAUCCAAUCUCAUACAUCUUCCCUGCAAAAGCAUGUGUGCCAGACUUCAAGAUCAAAUUUUUCCAACAAAAGAAACUUAAAGAUCAAACUCGCCAGCGGAAUAAAUGAUGCACAAGGGUGUUAAAAUCUUGACAUAUGUAUAUUUUUGGCAGAUUUUAUGUGAGCAUGCUACUAAAACUGGCAUCACUAAAGAUUGGUGGAAAACUUUAACAGUUUGAGUUGUAACUUCUCCAUUGUAUUUGUUAAGGCAAGAUGGAUGACAUCUAUGCAAUUUUCAGUAGAACUUAAAAGGCUGCAUAGCAGCUCUUGUUCGUUGUAUUGAAUACCGUGGUUUUACUGAUGAAUGCAGAGUUUGUUGAUGAUUCAUACGACAAGCAAUUGAAAAUCCCAUCAUUAUGCCCCACAUAUACCAAAAAAAAAAAGUCAUUUACACAAAUUCAGAGCGUUCAUCCACUGUAAUUUGCAGAUAUAGAAACGUUAAGAUAAAAGGAAAUGCAAAGUACCUUUCACCCAAAUUGGAGGAGCACCGGUGGCAUUAGCAAGUUAGCAACGGGAAUUGACAUACCAAUAUCUUCACAGUUUCUGCACAAGCACAAAUCAAAAGAACCCGGCGGUGGAGUUAUGUACCUCUCCUUGGAAAAUGCCACCUCUUGGGAUUUCAAAAUAUGCAGCCAUGGCUAGCCGUCUGACCACGCCAAUUCCACCAAAGCCACCGCAACGCGGCGUAGUGUCCGAUUGAUUGCUUCAAAACAGAGCUUCGUAUCCAUGUGUUUAUCAGCAGAGAGUACCCAAAACCACUGAAAAUUAUUUCUUUAUUCAGAUAAUAAAAUUUCCCAAAUUUGGAAAUUUAAUUCCGAAUCAAAAGUAGGGUUUGAAUUUUGAUUACCUAGAAAUUGGGGGGUUGGGGUGGAGAGGGACCCGUGCCACGACGGAUCUCUGUGUCUGUUUUAACUCAUGCCAAAUUAUAGAGAGUGUCAGGAAGACUUAAAUACUGAAGCCCCGUAAGCCGUUCAAUCCAGGGGGGAAGCUCUUUGAUAGAUGUUUUAUCCAAGAUAAGAUAUCUUAAUCCUUCCAUAUUUUCUUCAAUGCUUGGAAACACCUCAAAUUUUGUACAACCGGAAACAGAGAGACGGACAAGGGACUUGAGCUGACAAAUGCUGCUUGGAAGGCUCUUUAGUUCCUCGCAGUCGUUUAGCUUCAAAUAAGUCAAUCCCGUGAGAUUAUUAAUCGACCAUGGUAGUUCUUUAAUUUUUGAUCCGGAUAAAUUAAGAAAUUCUAACCCUUCAAUCACUUCUGUAAUCUCUGGAAACAUCUCAAGGCUCGAGCAACCAUAAAGAUCAAAGCUUUUGAGUGAUUUCAUACGAAUGCUGCUGGGAAGACUCUUAAGUUUCUUGCAGUAUAGUAGAUUCAAAUGACUCAACCCCGUAAGAUUAUUAAUUGAUGGGGGCAGUUCUUUAAUUUUUGAGCAGCGUAAAUCAAGCUUUUCUAACCCCUCAAUACCUUUUGACAUCGAUGGAAACAUCUCAAGACUGGAGCAGCCAUGAAGGUUCAAGGUUUUGAGACAUUUCAUACGAAUGCAGCCUGGAAGACUCUUAAGUUCCUUGCAAUCUUUUAGGUUGAAAUGACACAACCCCGUGAGAUUAUUAAUUGACAUGGGCAGUUCUUUAAUUUUUGACUCGGAUAAAUUAAGCUCUUCUAACUCCUCCAUACAUUUUGAAAUCUCUGGAAACAUCACAAGAUUGGAGCAGCCAUAAAGAUUAAAGGUUUUGAGAGAUCUCAUACGAAUUUUGCUGGGUAGACUCUCAAGUUCCUUGGAAAAUUCUAAGUUUAAAUGACUCAAUCCCGUGAGAUUAUUAAUUGACUCGGGCAGUACUUUAAUUUUUGACGCGGUUAAAUUAAGCUCUUCUAACUCCUCCAUACCUUCUGAAAUCUCUGGAAACAUCUCAAGAUUGGUGCAACCUCUUAGAUUAAAGGUUUUGAGAGAUUGCAUGCCAAUGUUGUUGGGUAGAAUCUUAAGUUCAUUGCACCAAUUCAGAUCUAAUAAAACAAGCUUUGUAAGAGUCAAAAUCGACCCGUGAACCUCAACUAAGCGUGUACAACUUUGAACAAUUAGCCUCUCAAGAUUUGGCACAUUUGUGAAGUCAGGGGUUAUCUCAAGGUUUUGACAAUGACUUAAAUUGAUGAAUUUCAACUUUUCCUGCGUCUGUUAAAACAUUCAGGAAAACAUGCAUUACUUAAUAAGACAUCUUACUCAAAGCCCAAACAUUUAAAAGAAACAAAUACAAGUAAAUGAUUGUACAUACCUGGGUUCCUUCCCAAAGUCGGUUAAUGAGACUACAUCGCAUGUCAAGUUCAACAAGAUUUUUGAAUUGAAAGUUGGAUGGCAAAGACUUGAGAGGGAAUUGAAACCAGGAGAGAUACCUCAAGUUAGGUAACUUAAAACGGAGCCCACUCAGGUGGUGUUUCCAGUAAUCACGUUUAAAAACGGAGCCCUCACUACUGAUCUUGAGAAGUCUUAGUUGAGUCAUACUAGCAAAAGCUUUAGCAUUUAAGCAUACCCGGUCUGAGUACGAGAAAUCCACGAUUAUGCUUUCAACUGUUUUCGUAGCCUGUGCAAAUCAAAGUAUUAGAAAAUACAAAGAACCUUAGUUUAGAUUAUGAAAUUAAUGCUUGUUUCUUAGGGAGCUGUUUGAUAAUCAUUUCGUUUUUAGUUUAAUUUUUUUUUCAAUUUUCAAUUAUUCAAACAAUGAAAACUAAAAAUUAAAAAUUGAAAACAAAAAUGGUUAUCAAAUGGCCUAAGAAAUUGAUUUUGGUCAAAAGUUGAAGCUUUCUACUAACAAUUGCAUAAGAAAAAGACUUCUCACCGUAUUUUGAGUUAGCAUUUGAUUAACAUCUUCAUAACUCCACAACCUACUUCGUUUCCCAGGCUCUUUGAUAGAUUCUUGACGGACGAUUUCCCGACCCAUUUCCUCUAAUGAAUCAUGCUUCUCCAGUUCCCCCUCCCCUGAGACAGUUAUGAGAGCAUGAUCGAUUAGAACUCUUAUUCCUAUAUGAGGAUGGAAACCACAAUCGUCCAUAAUUCGGGUUGCACAGUCUUUCUUCAUCCCUUUAAAGAAACAUGCAAUAUCUAGAAAGAUGUCUUUCACUGUGUCAUCUAGUCCAUCGAAGCUUGAUUUAAGCACAUCAUGAAUUCCCCUUUGCGGGAUUUUCCUUAUUUUUUCUAACUCAUCUUCCCACUCACGGAUAGUUUUUUUAAGAAGAAAAGCUCCCAAAACUUUGAGUGCUAAGGGCAGACCUUGAGCAUAUUUUACGACACGCUUAGAGAGAUCAUCAUAAUCUCUGGUGGGUUGGUUUUUUCGGAAGGCGUGCUGCCUAAAGAGUUUCAGAGCUCCAGAAUCACUCAAAGUCUUGGGAUUAUAUAUCACAUCAACUAUGCUUAGUAACUGUGAAUCUCUACUUGUUAUAAUAAUCCUACUUCCACCACCAAAGGAAUGUGGCUCUCCAAGUAAAGCAUCAAUUUGUUCUGAUUUGUCCACAUCAUCAACAACAAUAAGAACUUCUCUGACCAAGGCUUUUUAACAUCACCUGAAAACCUUUGUUCGAUAUGUCAGAGCUCCCCACCUUGUUGUCCGAGAUACUAGAUAGAAGUUGUGUCUGCAUAUGUAGUUCGCCGUGCUUCAUGAAACCCUCCUUGACAUUUUUAAGAAAGCAACAAGUUUCAAAUCGACUAGCGAUUUCAUCAUAAACAGCUCUAGCGAUGGUUGUUUUGCCUAAACCACCCAUACCCCAUAUUCCAACAACGCGAACAUUAUUCGUUUCAACUCCAGGAGGAUGUAAUAAUAAAUGCAUUUCAUGCAUAUGAGAAUCCAUGUCAACCAAGCCAUUCUCUUUCCUUGAUGAUGAUGAGAUGUCAAUCAAUUUCCGAUAAACAUAUUCUACAAUUUCCUCUACGAGCACCGCAUCACUCCUGUCAAAUUAAAAAAAAAAAAUAUAAUAACAACAAAAAAUAAUAAUUAAUAGGUCUUUUUCAUCUGUUAGUUUUAAAAAAACUAGAAAUUAAAACCAAAAUCUUGUUGUGGUCUAUUUUAUCUGACAGAGGGACUAGGGCCGGCGGCAGAGAGAGAGAGGAGAGAGAGGUGUGUUUGUAGAAUUGUAGGGGAAUGUGUGUGUUGUUAUCCCUCCUACAUUGUGCCUUUAUUUAUAGUAGUAAAGGGAGAGAAGAUAUUCCUUCUUCUCCAAGUAAUACAAGUUGUAAUAGGAAAGGAUAACUAGAAUCAAAUCUUAUCUAGGAUUUACACAAUCAUACUUAAACUAGGAAUGUUUACAACACUCCCCCUUGAGUGGGUAAAUACUCAAGGUAGAUUCAGCAUCAUGCAGAAGUUGAGGAAGUCGACUCGUCGGCAUUGAUUCCAAGGAACAACGCUUAUUCUCAAUAAGGUAGGAACUUGCAUAAGUAGUAAGUCUCACUAAAAAACCCUAAGGCUAUGGCAAAAACCCAAGUAGGGACAAAAUCCAUAGUCUAAGGAAAAAUGCGUGAGGAAUGCAAAGUCAAAAGAAACGUCUACAGGACAUCAUCAGGGAUAUGACCAGCCCAAGGUGGGUGCCUCGUUAAAACCUAGUUAGGUAGCAAAAACCCAGUGGGAAAAAUGCUCCUAAUCGUAGGGAAAAAGAGUACAUUAAGAUCAAGCAAGUAUCCAGAAGAAACUCCCCCUGAGUUUGACAUAAUUCCAAAGAGAAAUAGCAAAGUUACAACUCAGAAAGUUUUUACGCAUACCAAUUCCAUGAACAAGCUUCUAAAAACGUCGCCUUCGGUAGUGAUUUGGUGAAGAGGUCGGCCAGAUUGUCUUGUGAUCGGAUUUGCGUGACUUCAAUCUUCUGAUGCUCUUGUUGUUGAUGUGUAAAGAAGAACUUCGGCGCAAUAUGCUUGGUGUUGUCUCCUUUGAUGUAACCCUUCUUGAGCUGUUCGAUGCAAGCUGCGUUGUCUUCAAAAAUCGUCGUCGGGGCAUUAACGGCGGGAUGAAGAUCACAGGAGCUUCGAAUAUGGCCCACUACUGCUCUCAACCAAAAGCAUUCCCGAGUUGCUUCAUGUAAGGCGAGAAUUUCAGCAUGGUUAGACGAAGUGGCAACUAAGGUCUGUUUAGUUGACCUCCAAGAUAUUGCGGUGCCUCCAACGGUAAAGACAUAACCCGUUUGAAGAACGCGCCUUGUGCGGAUCAGAUAAGUAUCCAGUGUCGGCAUAACCAACAAGGCGAGAAUCAACCCGAUGAGCAUAGGGUGCGGCAUCACUCGAGGAUUCGUAGGGAUAAGAUAAAGCCCAAAUCCGUAGUACCCUUAAGGUAACGGAAGAUGUCUUUCACGCCAGUCCAAUGUCUGCGUGUUGGUGCAUUGCUGUAUCUUGCCAAAAGAUUAACAGCGAAGGAGAUGUCGGGUCUAGUGCAUUGAGCUAAGUACAAUAAAGCGCCUAUCGCACUUAGAUAAGGAACUUCAGGCUCCAAAAUCUCUUCAUCAUCCUCCUUCGGACGGAAGGGAUCUCGCUUUGCAUCUAGCGUACGAACGACCAUAGGAGUACUCGAAGGCUUCGCUUUAUCCUCAUUAAAACGGCGCAACACCUUCUGGGUGUAGUUCGAUUGAAGUACUAGGAUUCCAUCCGAACAAUGCUCUAUCUCGAGGCCGAGACAGUAUCGAGUCUUACCUAGAUCUUUCAUCUCAAAUUCCGACUUCAGGUGCGAAGCAGUUCUCGCGAGCUCUUCAGGAGUUCCGAUGAGAUUCAUGUCAUCGACAUAUACUGCAACAAUCGCAAAUCCGGAAUGUGACUUCUUAAUGAACACACAAGGGCAUAGUUCGUUAUUCACAUAUCCCUGACUAGUCAAAUACUCACUUAAACGGUUAUACCACAUUCUUCCGGAUUGUUUCAAACCGUAUAGUGAACGCCUCAGCCGAAUUGAGAGCGUGUUCCGAGGUUUGGAAAUAUUUGAACCAGUCAAUGUAAGUCCUUCGGGAACUUUCAUAUAAAUUUCCGUAUCAAGAUCCCCAUAGAGAUACGCGGUUACUACGUCCAUCAGCUGCAUAUCCAGUUUUUCGGAAACUACCAAACUGAUAAGGUAUCGAAAAGUAAUCACAUCCAUAACGGGUGAGUAAGUUUCGUCAUAGUCAAUCCCGGGGCGUUGUGAGAAACCUUGUGCUACAAGACGAGCUUUGUAACGCACAAUUUCGUUCUUCUCAUUACGCUUCCGAACGAAAACCCACUUGUAGCCAACGGGCUUCACAUGUGGAGGAGUAGGAACUACAGGUCCAAACACCUUACGUUUCGCAAGUGAAUCAAGUUCGACUUGGAUUGCUUGUUUCCAGUUUGACCAAUCAGCUCUACGUCGACAUUCAUCAACGGAACGCGGUUCAAUGUCAUCGCUCAACAUGAUCUCAGUAGCUACUGCAAAUGCUAAUGCAUCGUCGACAAUCAUCUCAUUUCUACGCCACACAUCAUCUAAGCUAGCAUAAUAGACCGAAAUCUCACGAUUCUCGGGAGGAGGAUUCGUCUCUUCAAGGACGCUUCCAUAAUCUAGAAUUUCCUCAUGAGUUGGGUAAAAUGAGUAAGCGAUAGUCGGAUUCACGGUAGGCUCUUCAGGACCUUGUGCCGUGGUUUUCCUCUUCCGGGGGUGUGAAUCCUUUGAACCAAGGGGUCUGCCACGCUUUUGUGUAGGGGCAGAUGAUUGGCUAGCCGCUAAUGUACGUGGAUCACCAGAAUUGGCGUCCCGGGCUUCCAGGAGGGUAGUCCGUCGUACAUUUGGUACAUCCAUCUUUGCAGGCGUUUUCGCAGCUGGAAUAUGUGAUCUUGUCACGCGCGCUAGAUCGGUGAAAGCAUCUGGCAUGCUCUGAGCUAUGCUCUGGAGAUCUAAUAUGCGCUGCACUUCAGCUUCAGACUGAGCGGUGCGGGGAUCUAAAUGAGACAAAGUGGGAGUCAUCCACGAUAAUUCGCGUCGUUCAUUAGGAACGUUGACGUUCUUAUCUCCCCCUAACGACGGGAAGACUGUCUCAUAGAAGUGACAAUCCGCGAAACGAGCGGUAAACAGAUCGCCUGUCAAAGGUUCUAAGUAACGAAUAAUCGAAGGAGAAUCAUAUCCGACAUAGAUUCCCAUCCUUCGCUGAGGCCCCAUUUUUGUACAUAAGGGCGGCGAGAUCGGCACAUAGACCGCACAACCAAAAACGCGCAGAUGAGAUAUGUCGGGUUCGCAUCCGGUGACCAACUGAAGGGCACUAAAUGGUUGUGUCGCAACAGGCCUCAGGCGGACCAACUUUGCUGCGUGCAAUAUUGCAUGGCCCCAAGCAGCGAUCGGGAGCUUGGUACGUAUGACCAACGAUCGAGCAAUCAUUUGUAAACGCUUAAUGAAAGCCUCUGCCAGGCCGUUCUGGGUGUGAACAUGGGGUACAGGAUGUUCAACUUCAACCCCAACCGACAUGCAAUAGUCAUCAAAAGUUUUAGAUGUGAAUUCUCCAGCAUUAUCCAAUCGAAUAGAUUUGAUCGGAUAAUCAGGGUGGUGAGCCCUGAGCUUGAUAACCUGAGCCAACAGUUUGGAGAAUGCAGCGUUCCUUGUGGACAACAAGCACACGUGUGACCAACGUGUAGAAGCGUCAACCAAAACCAUAAAAUAUCUAAAUGGUCCGCAGGGAGGUUGAAUCGGUCUACAAAUGUCCCCCUGAAUCCGUUGUAGAAAAAUGGGAGGAUUCGAACGAAUCUUGUCAUAAGAAGGCUUAGUAAUAAGCUUUCCCAUAGAACAUGUUUGACAUGCAAUUUCAUGGAUCGAACCUAAGCUUCGGGUUAGUGGAUGCCCGUGUGAAGUUUUGAGGAUACGGCGCAUCGCUAUUCGUCCAGGAUGUCCCAAACGAUCAUGCCAAAGUGUAAUUUCGUGCGCGGUCCCUGUGGUAGGGCCGGCCACAUAGUGGCAUUCUAUGGGGCGUAUGGUCGUAGUAUAUAGACCACUCGGGUUACGCGCCAUCUUCUCUAGAAUACGCUUCUGGCCAUAUUCGUAGGAAGUUACGCACAGAAAUUUAACUCCGUUUUCUACGUGGGUUUCAGCGUGGUAAUUGUUAUCUCUAAUGUCCUUGAAACUUAGUAACGUUCUUCCGGAACGUGGAGAAUAGAGUGCCUCAGCAAUGGUCAAGAUUGUACCAUUGGACAACAUUAUACGUGCCUUACCGUAUCCUUCGAUCAGGUUGGAUGGGCCUGAGGGGGUUGUCAGAGGUGCAUUCUUAGGUACGAAGUUAGUGAAAUAGAUGCGUUCACGCAAAACAGUAUGCGUGGUUGCACUAUCUGCCAGACAACUAACUUUCCCACUAUUCAUACCUAGAAUUAAUUUGAAUUGGUCACAUGCAUAAAAGUUUAUAAAACAAGUAUCAAUUCAAAAUAAUUUCAUUUAUUCAAGGAAAAAACUUAAUAUCCAAAAUAAAUCGCCAACUAAUAAUCCAAAACAUAAAGGAAAAUUGUUCAAAAUCAACCAAAAACAAGGUGGGGUUCGGCCACUAGGUGGAAUUCGGCCCCAAUUGUCUUAUUUUAACUGAAAAAUAAGUCUAUGUCUAAGAUUCUAAUCUUCCAUAGGAGUGGUAUCCUCCUGAAAAUCAGAAACCUCCAUCUUUGUAAUCUCCGGUUCGUCCACUUGCAGGAAGUUUGAUUCAAACUUCGUACAACGAGAAUGAUAUGCAUCCACAACCUUCUUGGGAGUACGGCAAAUACGGGACCAAUGGUCCUUGGAACCACAACGAUAGCACAUAUCGUCAUUCAUUGUGGCAGGUGCUUUGCCCUUAUUCUUGAAGUUCGGGGCCUUGGGAGUGAGGUUUGGGCGCUUCUGGGCUUUGUUUCCUCCCUUGGAUGGGCCUUGGCUCUGUUGACCUUGGUGGGAUGGCUUCUGGCCGCCCUUACCACGCCUCUUUUGGCGUUUUGGGUGCUGAUUAGUGCUAUAAUGUGCUUCAGGCACAGCAGUAGCCCCAGUAGGUCGAGCUUGAUGAUUUUUCAUCAACAGCUGGUUCUGCUUUUCAGCAAGAAGUAAAACAGAGAUCAAAUCAGAGAACUUAGUGAACUUCUGAGCUCUAUAUUGUUGCUGCAGGACAAUAUUAGAAGCAGAGAAGGUCGAGUAGGUCUUCUCCAGGAGAUCCUCUUCAGUCAAAGUUUCAUUGCAAAACUUGAGAAGUGAUCGGAUUCGACAAACUUCAGAAUUAUAUUCAUUCACAGACUUAAAGUCUUGGAAGCGCAAGUGCUGCCAGUCGUGUCUUGCUUCAGGCAAGAAUAUGUCCUUUUGGUGAUUGAAACGAUCAGCCAAAGCGACCCAUAAUGCACGUGGAUCCUCCUCAGCAAGGUACUCAGUUUGUAGAGCGUCAUGGAUAUGUCUUCGGAUGAAGAUCAUAGCAGUGGCUUUUUCAGCCUCGCCAACAGGUUUAUCUGUUACUUCUUCAAUAGCAGGACGCAAGUUCUUUGCAGUGAGGUGGAGCUUCACAUCUUGAACCCACUUGAGGUAGUUCCUUCCAGAAACCUCCAAAGCGGUGAAGUCGAGUUUGUUCAAAUUCGACAUGUUCCUAUCACAAAAUGGAUGAACAAGAUGUGGUUAGUGUAAUGGAGAAAAAUCAAUCCAUUCACAUAGGAGUAGAACAUACAGGUUCUAAUAGACAUGUAUUGGUUUAAUUUUGCAUGAAAAACUUCGGGUUUUCAUGGGUGAUAUAUUUAAGUGAAAACUUCGGGUUUUCAAACAAGGCAUGUGUAUAAGAAACUUUGGGUUUCAAAGUAAUUAUGAACUUCAGGUUCAUAUAUUCCUGCAGGCAAACACAAAUAUAUAUGCAAACAAAUAUGCAAAGAAUAUAUGUAGAAAUAUUGUAUAAUGAUAAGUGAAUUAAUUUAUUUUUGGUCUUCGGGGCCAAAUUAAAGUGUGGGUGAAAAUAUAAAAACCCAUAUUAUUUAAAAAAAAUUAAAUAAUAAAAUCUCGGGGCCUAAAAAUAUAGGCCAAGAACCCUCGGGUGGGAUUACAGGCCCACGGGGUGAGAAAAGGGGAAUGGGCUGCUGUGUGCAGCCCUAAAAUUUUUUUUUUCUCGGGCCGUUCCAGGCGAGCCCAUAAUUUUUUUUUUCUUUUCGGGCCGUUCCAGGCGAGCCCAGAAACUUUUUUUUUUUUUUUUUAAUUUAGAUGCAUAUAUAAUUCAAUGAAUCACAUAUUUACUUUGAUGCAUAUGCAAAUAAUAGUUUCAAUGCAUGUACAUAUGUAAGAUUCAAUUCAUGGCAAAUAUCAAAUUCACAUAAUUGUAGCAAUUUUGAUUAUGAAGCAUACACAAUUUAUGUAGAAUCUAAAAUACGUAAAACGUAAAGUUGGGUCAUGCAUCAUGGUGAAUGUUCAUGCUAUCAGGGCUUGCAAAAUAUCGAGUUAAAAGCCGUUGUUUGGAAAGAACCUGAUUGCGUGAUGAUAUGGAUGAACUGGUUUGAUGCAGAAAAAAUCUCCAACGUCAGAUUCCUAAGCGCAACGGUAGGAGCGUGCUGAUAACGUGUUGUGGUCUAUUUUAUCUGACAGAGGGACUAGGGCCGGCGGCAGAGAGAGAGAGGAGAGAGAGGUGUGUUUGUAGAAUUGUAGGGGAAUGUGUGUGUUGUUAUCCCUCCUACAUUGUGCCUUUAUUUAUAGUAGUAAAGGGAGAGAAGAUAUUCCUUCUUCUCCAAGUAAUACAAGUUGUAAUAGGAAAGGAUAACUAGAAUCAAAUCUUAUCUAGGAUUUACACAAUCAUACUUAAACUAGGAAUGUUUACAACAAAUCUAAAUAUUUGUCAAAUUAUCUAAAUAUAUAAAGAGAGAGCCCCAGUUUGGUGAAGCAUUCCAAAAUGCCAAGAAUAUCCCUAUGUUUCCUUCACAAUCAAAAUCCAAAAAAUCCAAAAAAAAGGAGGACAAACUGGUAAAAAACUUAUAACCGAACAUAAAAUUGUAUUGAAAGAAAAAACUAAAUUUUUACUAAAAAUUGAGAGCAAGAAAUACAAAAAAAAAAAACAAAAAAAAGGGAAAUUAAACCGAAUACUGGUAGAACAAGUCCACGUAAUUGAUAAUUGACGAAUGCAAUGUUGGUAACUGGUCUUGAUUUAAAAUAAAAAGUUGAAAACACAAAGAGACAGAUGCAGUAAAAAACACCAAUAAAAAACAAAAUAAAAAAAAAAAUAUUGGAAACUGAGGAAAGAAACGUGGGAGAGAGACUGCUGUUUUCAAACUGCAUUAAGUUUAAAGGCUCUCAUGUUAUUGCUAAUGGAAUAAAACAAAAAAGAAAAUAAAAAGAGACCUAAUACGUUUAGAAUAGAACUGCUAUUCGACAGUUGCAGGCUUGAAGUGUGUGAAGGAAACAGUUUUGAAGAACGAUAAACUCGAACGUUCAUGAAAAUAAAAGCGAACGUGGGAGAGGAACCAGUUUUGCGGGACAUGUAAAUAAAACACAAAAUAAAAUAACCUCAAGAGAAUAAAUUGAAAUUGUUGUGCCAGAGCCUGAAGGAGAAGAUCAAAUUGGCGAAAACCAACAAGAACUGGUAGUUCUGUAGUUCUCAAUUAUUAAAUUUGUGUGUUUUGUUCUCUAUCAAAAUGCUUCUUAUUCCUUAAUCUUCUCAUGCAUUUUCACAUGAUUAUUGAAAAUUCUGCACGUUAAUUGUAAUGGUUUGAUUGUGGUUUUUGUUCUCUGCAGGUUUUUCUUCCCUUAUCUUAUCAAAUAAAUCAAUUGAUAGGUUAGGCUUUCAUUUUUUUUUCUUCACAGGACUUUUAAGGACAUCCUCAAGUCAAAGUGAUGGAAUCAAAGUCUUCAGGUUUGGAUGCUUUUUUCCUUCUCUUUUUAGAGUAAUUUUCGAGUUUCUUCUCGCAUUUUUCGGGUUCCUUUCCCCAGUCCCCCAAAAUAACAAUAACAAAUUAGGCUUCUUCAUUUUUAGACUCUCUUGGGGUUGGCAGAUAAGGGGUUGCUUGCAUUUAAACCUCACCGUCCGGCUUCUUCUUUCUUAUGAAUUUUUAUCCCUUUCCUACGGCCAGUUCGUGAAGGCCGUUUUCAAAUUGAGGUUUUGUAUAUUCUGUCUCUUAAGAUUUGAUUCUUUCUAUUUUGGAUUAUUUUUUGUCUGAUUUCUCAAACAAUUUGGCUAAUGAAGAGUUUAUGGAUAUACAAUGGGACAAUAUUAUUUUCUCUCUGUUUUAUGUGUUUAUUUAGUUUUACUGUAGUUUUCAUCUAUGCCUUGAGUUUUGGCUUCUCUAUCUUUUUAUCUUUUGUAGCGUUCCAGGUAAAUGGUGAGAAUUAUUCAAGUAUGCGACAUCAUUUUAGUUUCAUGUGAAAAAUCUUCUCUUAUAAUUUUGUUUGAGUGAUUGAAUGUGCAUAUGUGAGCUCUAAGGUUUGGUUCCAUAUUUAUUGUUGAAGAAAAACAGGAAGUGAGGAACACAAUAACCCUACCACGAUUAUGUAUGAAAUAAAUUGGAUCUAUUAAAAACUCAUAUUUUGGGUGUGUUGUUAGGAAGAAAUGCCUAAACUCCGAAUUUGUAUGGAACAUACUCAUUAUAGAAUAGAUUAAUUGUAUGUGUUAUUGCUUUUAGUACUAAAAUUGACUUAUUUGCCCUCCUACAAGUCAUAGCUUUGCUAAUAAAUUGAGAACAAUGUCUGAUUUAGUUUUUUUUUUUUGUCGAAAUGUCUUAUUAGUUUAACUCUUUUCAUUUGAUAAUUCUCUUGCCCUUGGUUUGAGAUAUAAAGUAUUUCAUUUCAGUCAUCAAGUGUCACAGCCUGUCCCGAAAUAUUUUAUUGAUGUUGUGAAAUGACGAAACUGCCUUUGAGCGUUUUUUGACAUUUAAACUUUAGGGUUUGUUUUGGUAACCAUGGUUGUGUUUAGGGUUAGGUGGAAGUGUGAGGACACACACAUCACCCUUUCCCUUUCUUUCUCUUCUCUCCCGUGCACUCUCUCUCUCUCGGAAACACUCUCCCUCUCGGAAACACUCUCCCUCUCUUCCUUCUUUGUACGGACAACAUCAAAACCCUCUCAAACCUUGUAGAUCGAGGGUGUAAAGAACACCAUUGGGUUCGUGAGGAUCAUACAAGUCAAAAGGUACCAGUUUCAGGUAAGGAAACCUUCGAUUUCCCGUGAAAACCCUAACCCUCCGAUUUUGUCACUGUUUAUGCUCAUGUAAAACCUUGUGUUUUAGGGGAUUUUAAGCUCAUAGGGAGCUUUAGGAGGUCCUAAGGAAGAUCAGAGUGGUUUGUUGGAAGAAUUUGGACGUCGAAAUAGUGAGAUCGACGAGUUGCAGGGUUUGGCCUGAUUAUCGAGGUUUUUUUCCAGCGAGUUGGAGGUCGAGGCAUGUAUGGUUUUGUUCGUCUUUGUGAGAUCUUCAAAUUGGUUCAAAUUUCAUUGAAAAUGGUGCAAAAAUGAAGAAGUUAUAGGCAUUAGAAAUUUUUCCAUAAACCGGUGACUCACCGGAGAAGAAAGGAGUUGACGGAAUAUACUAACGGCGUCAUGUAUCUUUAACAGAUUCAGUUAGUUUUAACGGAAUAUUCCUGACGGCGUUAACUGACGCCGUCAGUGUGCCAAGCACAUGGGCGCACGUGGGGGCGCAUCUGGCCGUGCCUUGGCCACGUGGGUGAUCAGAAAAUUAUUCUAAAAAUAUGGGGAUGUUUCUGAGGUUGUGUAGAUCAUUUUGGUAUAUUCAAACACCCCGAUUGAGCAUUGUAUGAGAAGUUGUUACCAAGUUUUGUGUUUGUGCUUUAAAAGUAACGUUUAUAUAGUUGUUUCGCAUAUAGGUGAGACCUAUCCCGAGGACGAGCGAAGUCAGGGGCAACUCGGGGGUUACGACCCUUCCACAUACCAGUGAGUAUAUAUAUAUAUUGAAUAUUUUCCUAGAAAAGCGAUUUAAAUGUGUGAAAUCCCGUUUCUGGAUUUCAUUGUUAUCACCUACAUAUUUGUAUUAUUGAGAUUUUAUAUUAUUUCUCGAGAAUUUAUUUUAAUUUGUUUGAAUUUAAAUUUAAAUUAAAUUAGUUAUUAACGUUUGAAGUUUGAGGCAUUUUAGAAAUAAAUAGAAAAAUCUGAAAUUUUCUUAUGAAAUCUGGUGUGCCACAUGGGUGGCCCAGAUUCAAUGGAAAGGAAAAUGGAUGGUGGAGAUGCAAAGGAAAGGAUUUAAAAGAGAGUGGGCGCUGCCCAGUUAGGAGGGGGGAGAGAAAGAGGUGACCAAUUGGGCGAAGAGGAAAGGAGAGUAAGGAGAGAAGAAGAGGAAGAGGGAACCGGCCGGGGUUUACUAUGGCCCAUGACCCGACCCGGUUAUAUCUCCCAACUCCGGCCACCAUGGACGGCUAGGAUGGUGUCAAAAUGAUCCUUAGCUCGAGGCCAAUCGAUCUCUCUUCCAUUUCUACACUUAAAACGACGAGGGGGAGUCCAAUUUUGAGGAAAUACCACGGUGGGUGCGUCGGGCUUAUGUGGAAAUCCAUUAAAUCUUGAAACGUUUUCUUCCAAUUACAACCACCCAUAGCAUCCUCAUGAGGCCUAGAACAAAGCCCAGACAAGUUUGGGGGCGGCAGAGUUGUUUUCGAGUCGGAUCGAACACACCUAAAAACAAGGGUUCCGUACGGUUCGAGUGAAAUUGGGGAUUUUCCCGGCCAAAUUGGACUUGGCCACAGGUAUAAAAAUUGCUAUACUCAUUGAAAUCUUCAUUUCUGUAAAUUUUGAUAAUUUUUAAAAAUAGUUGAAUUUUUCCGGCAAGUCGGGGCGGCCGACGGCCACCCGUGGCGGCGAGUGCGGCGGUUUCCUGGCCAGUGGGCCGAAAAUAUCAUUUUAAGUUCAAUUAGAUGUCUUGAUUUCAUAAUUGAUAUCCUUAUGAUAUGGUUUGAUUGUUUGAACCUAAUUUCAUUACGAUACGUGGUUAGGUCAAAAUAUGAUUCGACGAUCCUACCGUUGGAUCGUCACCAAACCUUAAUGCGUGAUAGAACAUAAUAUUUUUGGAUCAUAGAAACUUACGGAUCGAGAAUCUGACGUACGGAUCUUCCCUAAUUGGAUUUCUAAGUUUGUAAAAUUAAAUGUCGACCGCCACUUGAAUUUUGAAAUUGGCGGAGAUCCAACUGUCGGAUCAUGUUGAGAUUUCAGUAUGUUGUUAUUUGAGCAUAAUGUGGACUUUGGAAAGUUUCGGAUCGGAAAUCCGAGGUGCGGAUCUUCCGAAUCAAAUUACAUAAGUUUGUGGACCCUACUGUUGAUCGAGAGUUGACUUUUGCUCAACAUGUCAUGAAACGUCCUAAUUACUAAAAUUAGUACUACAGGGGAACUAGGUGAAGUCUAGUGGGCAUGCAUUGAUUAGAGAGUGACUUGAAUAUAUGUGAUAUGAUUAUUACCUUAAUUUCCUAUUAGUAUCCUUUGUGAAGAUGAAUUGGUUUUAUAAAUGUGAUUUCUAUUGAAAUGUGAUUUUUAUAUAUUUAGCCAUAGGCCUAUGAUUAUUAAACAUGAUUUGGCUUGGUACUGAUGAUGGUUGUGACAUAUGUGAGUUAAAUUAUCUUUUUAGUAAUGUGAAUGAUGUGUAUGAUUAUUUUCAUGACAAUGUGAUCCUAGAAUCCUAUUAAAAGUAUGUUGUAGCACUUAUAUGCUUGGGUGCCAUAUUAGUGGUGACCUUGAGAAGUUGAUGGUGUAGGUGACUACGUUGUAACUCAUAGGGUUGAGAUGUGAUGUGGAUAAGUUGAGGUGUUGAAAUUACUACACCAUGUAGUAGUUGUACAUUGAUGGUCCUGCUUGGUAUAUCCGCAUUGGGGGACCAUACGCAUUCUAGGAGUGAUCAUGCUUGGUAUAUCUGCAUUGGGUGAUCACUACCUACCUGAUUAUCUUGACCCUGCUUGGUUAAUCCGCAUUGGGGGGUCACAAGUGGUCCUGCUUGGUUAACCCGCAUUGGGGGACCAUACUUUAUAUGGAUCGCGCUUGGUUAAACCGCGUUGGGCGAUCCUUAUGGCCAUGUAUGCUUAGGAGUGAUCAUGCUUGGUAUAUCCGUAUUGGGUGAUCACUGCCUAGGAUAUUAAACUAUGCAUACGGUUUUGCUUGGUAUAUCCGCGUUGGGGGACCAUAUGCAUUCUAAAAGUAAGGAGGAUUAGUUGUGUUGAUGCACAAAAUCAGCGAAGACUUUGGUACAACAGAAAGUGUCAGGUUUUGUGACCUUCGCUUGGUUGCUUCGGUCACUAGUGAGGAUAAAUACGUAAAUAAAUAGAGACAGAGAAGCAAACACAGGAUGUACGUGGUUCACCCAGAUUGGCUACGUCCACGGAGUAGAGGAGUUCUUAUUAGUAGUGAAGGGCUUACACAAGUACAAAGGAUCAAGCUCUCAAUUUAGUGAGUUCUUGUGAAUGAUUUACACAAAAUGGCAUUAGGCAAUAUUGUGGGGGAAUGACCCCUAUUUAUAGAAAAACUUGUAGCUUUGUCACAUUGACAUGUGUCAUGUUAUGAUUGGUUCUUGAUGUUGACACGUGCUGCGCUCUGAUUGGCUUCUAAUCCUGACACGUGUCGAGUAGUGAUUGGCCUCCUGGUCGGAGGGGAACUCUUCUGGGUCCUUGACAGUAUAGCGUUGGCUGGUACUCGGUAGUUUCGGGAUUGGUCAAGUAUGGUACAAACAGUGCUCCCCUAAGUUCCCGAGUGAGGGAAACUCCUCGGUUGGGGACUUGCAAGAUCCAAUCCCUUGAGUAAUCACGAAACUUCUAAGUACCGAAGUGUGGUCUGAUCUUCAUCUGCCCUUCUCUGGAAGUACCUUUCCUCCAUCCGGGAAUGGUGUAUUUAGCUGAUGUUGACGCACAAGCUAAUGUAUCAAUUUCACUUGAAGCUUAGUUGUAGUUUCGGGCUUAGUCAAGUGUGAUACAAACCCUAUAGUAGGAGUCCCCCAAGUCGCCGAGCUAGGAGAUCUGCCGAAAGAGGUGACAGACAAGGUAAGCAGUCAAACUUCCAAGUAAGCAACCCAGGAUCAGAGGUUUGACUUCGGCUUCCGGUUGAUUGUUCUCAUUCUCCUUGUCUCUCAUUCAACUGCCAGGAUAAGGAGAAGCAAAUGGAUAAGAGAUGAUAUGAGAUACUUUUGCUUUUGAAGAAGUAACUUUCCACAGGCUUAUUCUUGAACUGUGCUGGAGGGUUUUCUGGUGCCCUUCAGAGUAUAAGGCCAACUCAAAAAUUUGAGGGUCAAAACAAGUCCAUCAAAUCUAGAGUACGUUCGACCUUGAUGAUAUGGGAUACUUUUGCUGUUGACGGAAUAAUGAAUGUGGUAUGGAAAGGUGUCGUGCUGUAGUGAUCUGUUUCAGCUCACCGUUUGAACCUUCUGCUUCAAUCUUUUGCAUGGCAGAAGUGGUGUGCAACCUUUGCAUUUAAAUGGUCCUUCAGAACAUUCCUUCAUAGUGACUCAUCCACGCUUGGCAGCUUCAGUGUAAAGAGCCAAUAUCUGAUCAACUGUCAUGAGGUAUUUGCCGGUGGAAUUCGUGACCUUGACAGCAGUUGAGGAUGAGUACUCGAGAGCAAUGCUAAGUAAGCAACCAGGCAAAGGCUCCAGGCAGUCAGUUCCAAAUUGGAGGUUUGAUUUCAGGUUCCGACUGACUGCUCUCUUUCUCCUUGUCCUGCAGGUGUGGACAAGGACAAAGACAAAGACAGGGAGAAAGCAUGAUAUGGGAUACUCUUGCUUUCGAUCCUGAUGAUAUGAGAUACUCUUGUUCUUGGUGUGGCUUAUUUGCUGAGGUAUUAUCGGGGGGAAAUAAAGCUGAGUAUUUCGAGAGGUUAUGUUGAGGGUGCCUUUUCGAAUGCGAGAAAGGGUUGAGCAUUUUUGCAGGUUUGCCUGUCCGUUGAGGAGGGAGGUCAAUGUAUAUAGGGAUUUCCCAAUAACAAGUAGUAAUGCUAUUCCUUUACCCUUCUUGGUCACAGCAAUGUAGUGGGAGCUGCCAGCUUCACGUGUUUUAAUUUUGUCAGAGCACUUUGAAAAAAGUGGUAUGUGGUAUCUGGAAAGCUGAUGUUACGUGUGAAGAUUACAGACAAGCUUUAUCUAAGGAAAUCUGGCUCUCGAAGUUCUGAGAGUUGUGCCUCUUCGGUUUUCGAACAAGCAAUCCCGUCGAGGAUCUGACUCUCGAGAUUCGGAAAGCGGUGCUACUCCGGUUUUUUAGAAAGUAAUUAUGUUGGGAGUCUUUUCUUGAAUGUGAGUAAAGGUUGGACGUUCUUGCCAACCUGUCUUGCCGCAAAACACGGAGGUCGACACACAUAGGGACUUUCCAGUUGUCAAGCAGUGGUGCUGUUCCUUUACCCUUAUGGGUAAUAGUAGGGUAGCUGGAACUUCGAAAUUCUCGUGCCUAAACUUUGUCAGAGAUCUUUGACAAAGUUAUAUGUGGUACCCGAUGAGUUGAUGGUGCAUAUGGAGAGCGGUGAUUGAACAGUAAGAUUCACGUGCUUUCUACUUCACCAGAAAUCUUCGACAGAUUGCCCGUAAUUUCUGCAAAGCUGAGUGUGCAUGUGACAGGUGCUGACGAGGCUGAAAAAGCAGGUGCUUCUUUGAUUUCUGAGAUCGGCCCUCGUGGUCUCUGAGCAGCCCAGCUUUUGAGAAAGCAAACGCCUCUUCGAUUUCUGAAGCUCCGUCGAGUGCAGAUUUUUAUAGAGGCUGGCAUUAAGUUCCACAGCACACUUGAAUCUCUACCAGUAGAAGCUCAUUUCUUGCACUUCUAAGAUCUUGAUUUGUCUGACCUCUUCCCUCUUCAACACAUUUGAAAAUGUCUGGACCCUCCGACCGUCGUUUUGACUUGAACCUUGGAGAAGAGACAGCCACGCCUUCUCCAGACAACAUAUGGCGCCCAUCAUUCAUAUCCCCUACCGGUCCUCUUACCGUUGGGGAUUCUGUGAUGAAGAAUGAUAUGACCGCUGCAGUGGUGGCCAGGAACCUUCUCACUCCCAAAGAUAACAUACUACUUUCCAAACGGUCUGAUGAGUUGGCUGUUAAGGACUCUUUGGCCCUUAGUGUUCAGUGUGCAGGUUCUGUGUCUAAUAUGGCCCAACGCCUAUUUGCUAGAACCCGCCAAGUUGAAUCAUAUUGGCUGCUGAAGUGAUGAGUCUCAAACAGGAGAUUAGAGGGCUCAAGCAUGAGAAUAAGCAGUUGCACCGGCUCGCCCAUGACUAUGCUACAAACAUGAAGAGGAAGCUUGACCAGAUGAAGGAAUCUGAUGGUAAGGUUUUACUUGAUCAUCAGCGGUUUGUGGGUUUGUUCCAAAGGCAUUUAUUGCCUUCGUUCCUCUGGGGCUGUACCUGGUAAUGAAGCUUCAAAUGAUGAACCUCCAAUGCCUCCUCCUUCUGGGGUUUUGUCAAGUACUGAGGCUCCGGAUAACCACCCUCCGGUGCUUUCUCUUUCUGGGGCUCUACCGACUGCUGAGACUUCCCCUAAGCAACCUUUGUGAAGGCUCCCUUUUGUUUGUUUAUUUUGACUCAUGUAUAUGUACAUAUUUGUGGCUUAUCGAAAAUAUUAAUAAAAUAAGCUUUGCUUCAUUUCAACAUAUUGUGUUAAAUACACCAAAGCCUUCUUCAUAAAGUUCUUUGAAUUUUUGCUUUUGUUGAAACCUGUAUUGUUGAAGCUUUGUGAGUGAAGCAUGUAGUUUGAGGUAGUGUUCCCUUAAUUUCUCGAGUGAGGAAAACUUCUCGGUUGGAGACUUGAAAAAUCCAAGUCACUGAGUGGUUGUGAGACUGCCGAGUAUCAAGGUGCAGUAGCAUAUGGUGGGAGUCCCCCAAGUCUUCAGGCGAAGAGAGUUGCCGAAUGAGGUGUCUCGCGUGUUACUAAUUUGUCAAAGUAACGAAUUCUUGUUUCGAUGUCACACAUUCGUAUAUGCUUUAUCUAAAAAAUAUUUCCAACUUUUGUGUGUGUUUGAUGCUGCAUGCUAUUGACUAGACAAGAUCAAGUGCAAUUAGUAGCUUUCUCUCUUUUUCAUCUUUUCUUUGGUGGAAUUGCUUUUCGUUUCCACUAAUCAGCCUGAGUGGAUGCAAGAUAACACCUUUCUCUAUAGCUCAGAUUGCAAAGUCGUCUUCAUGAAAGUUUUUCCUUAUCUUGUGAACUACAAUAUAUCCAAAUUUGAGAUCCAUCGGAGUAGUACAACUUCAGAAAUUCAAGUAUGAUGAGUAACUGUUCAUCAAUGUUCUGUUAAUCCGUCAGACUUGUUGUGAGCUUCGAAACUCCAUUUUCUCUUGUUCAGAUCAACAUACUUUCUUUCUUCAUCGAAGUUGUUCCUCAGCUUGUGAACUACAACAUAUCCAAAUUUGAGAUCCCUCGGAGCAGUAUAACUCCAGAAAUCCAGGUAUGAUGAAUGACUGGUUAUUAUUUUUCUGUCAACCCGUCAGAUUUGUUGUGAGCUUCGAAACUCCAUUUUCUCUUGUUCAGAUCGGUAUGCUUUUCUUCAUUGAAGUUGUUCCUCAGCUCGUGAACUACAACAUAUCCAAAUUUGAGAUCCCUCGGAGCAGUAUAACUCCAGAAAUCCAGGUAUGAUGAAUGACUGGUUAUUAUUUUUCUGUCAACCCGUCAGAUUUGUUGUGAGCUUCGAAACUCCAUUUUCUAUUGUUCAGAUCGGCAUGCUUUCUUCAUUGAAGUUGUUCCUCAUCGUCUCUUUCAUAACAUAUCAAAAAUUCAGAAUGAACUAAUGGUUAAAUAUUUCCAGAUCUUUGAAACAUCACAGCAGCUUCGAAAUCUGCAAGAAUCCGACUGUCAUGUUUGGAACUUCAACACUUUAAUUUCCGUCGCUCAAACAGAAAUGGUUCCUUCUUGAAAGUUGUUCAUAUGCUCAAGAACUAUAGGGUGUCCAAAAUUCAGCUCCAUUGGAGAAGAGCAGAGGUUGCAGAAAUUUGAUAGAUGAAAGGAGGCGGAAGAGGGAGAGAGAGAAAAAGUCUCUUGGGUUGGAUUUCUAUUUUGGGGCAGAUUCCAAUUUUUGUAGCACCUUCAUUAUUGAUGAAUUGCUUGUACUUUUGUCCAUUAUGAAACUUGGGACUUUGGCUUGUUGUUGGAUCUAUUAUAAUAUGUUUGGGAACAUAUAUAAGUGAAUAAAUAAGAAGGAAAAUUUUGGGCCCUUGUGGGUGUAAAACAAAAAAUGUUUAUGUUUACCCAAGUGGUUUUGUGAACAAAAUUUGUUUAUUUGGAGCAAGGUUUUGUGUUGAAGCUUUGUAGGUGAAGCUUUGUAGAUGAAGCUUUCGAGGUGAAGCUUUGAUGGUGAAGCUUUGUAGAUGAAGCUUUCUGGGUGAAGCUUUGAUGGUGAAGCUUUGUAGAUGAAGCUUUCGAGGUGAAGCUUUGAUGGUGAAGCUUUGUAGAUGAAGCUUUCUGGGUGAAGCUUUGAUGGUGAAGCUUUGUAGAUGAAAGUAUGUAGAGGGAGCUUUCUAGGUGAAGAUUUUUUAGGUGAAGCUUUGUAGGUGAAGCUUUUUUAAGUGAAGCUUUUCGGGUGAAGUUUUUGUUGGGUGAAGCUUUGUGGGUGAAGCUUUUUAGGUGAAGCUUUGUGGGUGAAGCUUUGGAGGUGAAGCUUUUCGGGUGAAGCUUUUUGGAUGAAGCUUUUUUUUUUUUUUUUUUUUUUUUUUUUUUUUUUUUUGGCGCUUGACACGGUCUUCAUUUGCUUGUUUUGUAGUGACUGUGGAAGACGGAUUGCUUUCUGAAUUGAGAAGGGUUCCGGCAUCGCUUGCUAUGAAUGUAAAAGAGUGAGGGCUGAGUUGGCUAAAUUACCUCUUUAUUGAAUUCAUUGCCAAAUGGCCUUCAUUACAUAGGAUGCCGAACGGCUAUAGCUCAACACUUGUACAUCGUGAGUCUAUUUGUAGUAGUACUUCAAGUGAUCAGCGUUCCAUGGAUGGCCAAGGGUCUUGCCAUCGGAGCUUCUAAGUGUGUAAGAGCCAGGGCGACUGAUGCCAAUGACUUCAUACGGUCCAUCCCAGUUUGGACUAAGUGUGCCUUCACUCGGGACUCUGUCGCAGAGUAAUCUUUUCUUUUAAGACCCAGUCUCCUAUUUUGAAAGAACGAGGCUUGACCCUAGAGUCAUAAUAGUUGGAGAUGCGCUGCUUGUAGGCGACAUUCCUCAAGUGAGCUUGGUUUCUGUGUUCCUCGACUAAAUCCAAGUUGAGGGUGAGUUGUUUGUCAUUUUCACUUUGAAUGUAGUUCUGGACUCGGAAUGUUGCUUGCUCGAGCUCAACAGGGACAACCGCCUCUGUGCCAAAGGCAAGUGAGAAUGGAGUUUCUCCUGUUGAAGUCCGAUAUGAAGUGCGAUAUGACCAAAGAACUUGGGGUACAAAUUCUGGCCAACAGCCUUUAGCUUUGUCCAAGCUGGUUUUCAAAGUGCGCUUGAUUAUUUUGUUGAUGGCCUCAACUUGUCCAUUAGACUGGGGAUGAGCUGGAGAGGCAAAGCAUAAGUUGAUGUUGAACUUAGAGCAGAACAACCUGAACUUCUUGUUGUCAAACUGUCGCCCAUUGUCAGUGACUAUCGCAUUGGGAAUGCCGAAUCUACAAAGGAUGUUCUUCCACACGAAGUCUUCUAUCUUUGCCUCAGUAAUGGUUGCCAAGGGUUCUACUUCGGCCCACUUUGUGAAGUAGUCCACUGCAACGACUGCGUAACAGACUUUGCCCUUCCCUGCCGGCAUUGGGCCGAUCAAAUCAAGUCCCCACUGGGCGAAGGGCCAAGGGCUGAUCAUAGGAGUAAGAGGCUCUGGAGGGGAAUGAGGAAUAGUUGCAUAUCGUUGACAUUUGUCACAUGAGCGGGAUACUUUGAUGGCAUCCUGGUGGAGUGUUGGCCAGUAAUAUCCUUGGCGAAAAGUCUUGUGUGCUAGGGACCGAGAUCCAGCAUGAUCUCCACAGACUCCCUCAUGUAUUUCCCGAAGGACGAUUUCCGCCUCGGCAGGCGUAAGACACCUUAAGUAUGGCAGGCUAAAACCUCGCUUAUAGAGUUGAUCAUUGAUGAUCAGGUAGCGGGUAGACUUGUAUCGAAUUUGCUUAGCCUGGACUUUAUCAUUUGGGAGGGUGCCAUGAGCAAGGAAAUUAUAGAUCGGGGUGAUCCAACUAUCCCCCUGUUGUAAGUUGCAUACUUCUGCGGCCAUGGUGCUUGGUGUUGCCAACAGUUCGACAUGAAUUUUUCUUCCAAUCUUGUCUUCCACAGCUGAGGCGAGGCGAGCCAGGGCGUCUGCAUGACUGUUUGCCGCUCGAGGAACUUGGGUGAUCUGGUAGUGGAAGUGCUUGAGUAAAAGUUGUGUUUGCGCAAGAUAUGCUGCCAUGGAGCUGUCCUUAGCAUCAAAGUUGUUGGUAACCUGGUUGACCACUAAUUGGGAGUCACUGAAAAUAUCAAUUUGUUUAACCCCGAGGUGUUUGGCCAAACGUAAUCCUGCUAGAAGGGCUUCAUACUCGGCCUCAUUAUUUGAUGCCUUGAAUUUGAAACGAAGAGCAUACUCCAUUGCUACUUUGUCGGGUGUAGUCAAGACUAGUCCCGCUCCACAGCCCUGUUGGUUGGAUGAGCCAUCAACAUACAGACUCCAUGCUGGGGUUGUUGGUUCUAUCUUCUGAGCUUCCGGGGGUAAUGAAGCCACUGUUUCAGGUGUAGAAGCAAUGUCAACCGGAUAUGUGAAGUCGGCAAUGAAGUCUGCCACUGCUUGGCCCUUCUCAGCUGGCUUUGGUUGGUAGGAGAUGUCAAACUCACCCAACGCUAUUGCCCAUUUGAUCAUUCGCCCUGAAGUGUCAGGACUUUGGAGUAUCUGUCGAAGAGGAUAAUUGGUAAGCACGAUGAUGGAGUGCGCUUGGAAGUAAGGGCGGAGUUUUCGAGCAGACAUGACCAAUGCCAGAGCCAAUUUCUCAAUGUUAGAGUACCGUGUCUCCGCAUCUUGUAAGGCUUUGCUAGCGUAGUAGACAGGUCGCUCAAUAUUCCCAUCCUUUCGAAUGAGAACGGAACUUACGGCUGAAGCUGAUACCGAUAGGUAGAUAAUGAGAAUGUCUCCUACCUCGGGCUUGGUGAGUAGAGGGGCUUUACUCAUGUACUCCUUGAGGUUUUUGAAUGCCUCGGCACAUUCAUCAGUCCAUGUAAUGUACUUCCUACUUCCCUUAAGUGCUUUAAAAAAGGGAGCACAUUUGUCUGUGGCCUUAGAAAUGAACCUGGUUAAGGCUGCCACCUUGCCAGUAAGGCUCUGGAUGUCCUUUGAAGUUACCGGUUCCUUCAUGUCGAGGAUUGCUUUGAUCUUCUCGGGAUUAGCUUCAAUGCCUCGUUGGCUAAUCAUGAAACCUAAGAAUUUGCCAGAGCCUACGCCGAAGGCACAUUUGUUGGGGUUUAACCUCAUUCGAUACCUCUUCAAAAUAGUGAAAGUUUCAGAUAGGUUGGUGAUGUGUUGGUCAGCAUGUUUGCUCUUGACUAACAUAUCAUCAACGUAAACUUCCAUGCUCUUCCCAAUCUGCUCGGCGAACAUUGAGUUGACUAGUCUCUGAUAAGUCGCUCCUGCAUUCUUUAGGCCGAAAGGCAUGACUUUAUAGCAGUAUAGUCCUCUGUCGGUAGUGAAGGCUGUGUGUUCUUGAUCCGAAGGGUUCAUGAGGAUUUGGUUGUAUCCUGAGUAAGCAUCCAUGAAGCUCAGGAGUUCACACCCGGCCGUAGAGUCUAUAAGUCUGUCAAUAAGAGGAAGAGGGAAGCUAUCUUUCGGACACCCUUUGUUUAGGUCGGUGUAGUCAACACACAUUCUCCACAAGACCUUUUGAAGCGAAAGACUUUCUUUGGUCGGAUUUUUCCUAACAAGGACCACAUUUGCUACCCAUGUCGGGUAAUUGACUUCGCGGACAAAGCCUAUGCCUUUGAGUUUUUCAACUUCUGCUUUCAUUGCCUCGUAUCGUUCAGCGUCAUAAGAUCUUCGCUUCUGUCUCACCGGCUUGAUCUUGGGGUCAAUACUCAAACGAUGACAGAUGACAUCGGGAGAGAUGCCUGGCAUGUCCUCGUAUGACCAGGCGAAGACUUCAGUGUUCUCUUUCAAAAAAGAUAUCAAUGCUAACCGAAGGGGUGGUGACAAUGUGGUGCCAAUCUUCACCAUGUGAUCUGGAUAAUCUCUUGAGAUAGGUACCUUCUCCAACUCUUCAGCAGGUUGGGCUUGCUGGGUGAAAGAGUCAUCUCGAGGAUCAUCGGGUUGAUUGUUGCUAUCAGGAAGAUCCAAGUUCGCUUCAUCUAGGCUGGUCUUUGUGACUUGGUCAUGUACAGACAGGGUUUCCUUGGGUCCGGGCAAGUGUUGUUGCUUAACUGAAGUGUUGUAACAUGAUCGUGCACUAAGCUGAUCUCCUCUGAUGUAGCCGUUGCCAUGGGGGGUUGGAAAUUUCAUCAACAGCAUAUGCGUGGAUACCAUAGCCUUGAGAUCAUUGAUGCCUGUGCGCCCAAAGAUGACAUUGUAUGCCGUUGGGCAGUCAACCACUAGGAAGUUAGUGGUAAUGGUAGCCGUGUAAGGGCCUGUACCAAUAGUAAAGGGUAAAUGUAUGCUCCCUAAGGGUUGCACGAUAUCACCGGAGAAGCUUAUCAGAGGAGAAAUCGAGCGAUCGAGCAAGUGUUCAGCUACACUGAGUGCCCUGAAAGCUUCGGCAAACAUGAUAUUGACCGAAGCCCCUGUGUCUACGAGGAUUCGUCGAACAUCAAAGUUGGCUAUGUGAGCCUCCACGAUCAAUGGGUCGUUAUGAGGGUAGAUGAUGCCUCUUUCUUCCUCAGGGUAGAAACAUAUCGGAUCCCAGUUAGGCUUUUGAUACUUCCCUCCCCUGAUGUCUUCCACGUGAAACACUUGGUGACCAGGCCUCAGAAUUCGUUCACUGUUUUUCAUGGCCCUAUUGGAAGAUUCAGAUAUGGGUGUGCCGCCGCUUAUGGAAUAUAUGACAUUCACCUGGCGUUGGUUACGGUUAUCCCUUUGAGGGUGAAGGAGGAAUUGAUCAAUUUUUCCUUCUCGUGCCAAAGCUUCAAUACGAUCACGGAGGAUGAUACAUUUCUCGCUAUCAUGGCCGUUAUGCUCAUGGUAGCAACAAAACAUGCCCGCGUUAUUCGGGGGCGUGUAAUCUGGGUGCCUCGGCUUUGGCUUUGGUAUCAGGUGAGCUAUGCUGGGGUAAAUGGCCGCGCAUGUGGCAUUCAAGGGCGUGUAUGUCUCAUACCUUGGGGUAGGGGGUAUCUUGACGCGGGUUUGACCCACUGCAUUGACUGCCUGGGGGCGAGCGUUAUUGUGGCGAUACCCUUGGUUAUCGGGAUAGUGUCCCUUACUCUUUUUUACUGAAAUGAGAGUGGUGAGGAUGGAAAUCCUUCCUCUUGCCUUGAAAUUGAUAUGUCUGUUGAUUCGGCGAAGCAUUAUGCAAGGCAUGGGGAGGUGCCACUGCUGUUUGGAAAGUCGAGGUCUUCUCAUUUAGGUGAGUCUGGCUUCCACCUCCCACUUGUUGAUAAAGGAUGGUUGUAGGGGGUUUCUCCUGAUAUGUCUUUGCCUCGGCGGAGGCAUGGUUAUAAGCCUGCGCCAUCACCUCAGAGUAAGUCUUCCAAGUAUUGGCAUUGAUCAUGUAUUUAAAGAAACAAUCACGUAGGCCUGCCGUGAAGGCUUUGAGGGCAGUCUUGUCGUCUGCCUCGGCACACCGGGAGUAUUCAUGGCUGAAGCGGCCAGCAUACAUACGUAAUGACUCGUCUGGCUUCUGGCGGAUAGUGUACAGGUCAUCUGCAGAGUGCAAGCGAUCGGUUUGGAAAAUGUGUUGGGAAACAAAUAGUUUCCUCAAUUCCUCAAAUGAGUCUACCGUCUCAGGUGUAAGACGACAAUACCAAUUUAGAGCUCCGCCAGAGAGGGUGGAGGGGAAGAGAAGACAUCGCUCUUCGUCGGUGUGCAUCCGGUAUGCCAUGGUGGACUCAAAGAGGUUAAGGUGCUCAAUCGGGUCCUCUUUUCCAGUAUAAAGUUGCAAGCCAAGCUUUUUGCUUUGUCUUUGCUUGAAGGGGGGUGUUGAGGAUCCUCCUUGUAAGAGGGCCAGGCCUGGGUUGGUUCCAGUCAGGUAUUUCAGCCUGACGUUCAGCCUUCAACUUGUUUACUUCCUCAAGAAGUUGUAGGACAAGGGGGUCCUGAGCGGAGUUAUGUGCCACUGGAGCUUUCUUUCGUAAAUCUCCAUCUUCUCUUGGAAUUAGGAAGGUUUGAUCAAGGGCAUGUGAUUUUUCCCUGGACUCGCUGUACUGGCUUCCAGGGUAUGUCUGUCGGAACACCUCUGAGUCCCCUGUACCCUCAUGUCUCUCUAGGACUUGUUGCCCCUUCCCCAAAUUGGUGGCCGGCUUGGGCCGUGGCAGGGGACCGAGUCUCUCAGAAAUCCUUGGGUCAUUAAUCUUUGAGCUUAUAUGGAUGGAAUUCUCUCGACGUUGCUUCAGGAAAUCCCGACAAUAGCGAAAGACAGCUUUCGAUCCUUCUGCCCCUUCAGCAAAGAGGUGUCUCCCUCCACUUCUCAUGGUUCGGGUUGAAGCAACUGGGUUAAGAGAAGCCUCAUGUUGAUUAUCAAGUCGAGGGGUAAUCUGUUCCCUAUCAGGGAUAUCUAUGUCGAAUGCAUGUGACCCUCCAUGUUGGAGGGCACCCAGUUGAUGGUUGACUUCCACGGGGGCAACAAGCUCGCGUGUCUGAGCUUGCCUAGCUUCGUGGAGUGUCUCGAAGAGCUUCUCAUAUUGCUCCUGGAGGACCUCAUUCCUCAUUGCUAUCUUGUUGUUCUGAGCUUCCAACUCAUCGACUUUAGCUUGAAGAAGAACUCGUUUUCCUUCCUUCUUUCGUUGUUUCGCACUAUGUGCAAGGGGGGUGUCAUUCUGUGUGCUGUGGCUUCCUUCGCUUCCCAUGUUGGAGAGGGAUGCCUGGUCAAAAGAAAGUGUACGAAUGAUAGAAACCAGCUUGACACAGCUGAAGAGAGUAGGAAUAAGUGUCGUUUCCCACAGACGGCGCCAAAUGUUGAUUAUCAAAAUCAGCGAAGACUUUGGUACAACAGAAAGUGUCAGGUUUUGUGACCUUCGCUUGGUUGCUUCGGUCACUAGUGAGGAUAAAUACGUAAAUAAAUAGAGACAGAGAAGCAAACACAGGAUGUACGUGGUUCACCCAGAUUGGCUACGUCCACGGAGUAGAGGAGUUCUUAUUAGUAGUGAAGGGCUUACACAAGUACAAAGGAUCAAGCUCUCAAUUUAGUGAGUUCUUGUGAAUGAUUUAACACAAAAUGGCAUUAGGCAAUAUUGUGGGGGAAUGACCCCUAUUUAUAGAAAAACUUGUAGCUUUGUCACAUUGACAUGUGUCAUGUUAUGAUUGGUUCUUGAUGUUGACACGUGAUGCGCUCUGAUUGGCUUCUAAUCCUGACACGUGUCGAGUAGUGAUUGGCCUCCUGGUCGGAGGGGAACUCUUCUGGGUCCUUGACAGUAUAGCGUUGGCCGGUGCUCGGUAGUUUCGGGAUUGGUCAAGUAUGGUACAAACAAGUUGUACUUAGUACAUUUGAUGGGCAAUCAUAUUUUAGUUGGUUCCGUUGAGUGGUCCGGAAUCCUUUUUGGUGUCUUGGUUCCGUUGAGAGGUCCGGAACCCGAUGCUGAUGGAUUUCGUUGAGGGGUCCGAAAUUGCAUCAUUUGAUUCAUUUAAGACAGCUUCAGCAAUGUAGACUUAUGUCGAAUUGUGUCGCUCUAACCCGGCAUUCCGAUGAAUUGUAUGUGUUAUUGAUGAUAUGGUGAUUGGCAUUAUUGAUUGAUGUGAUAAUUGGAUGGUAAUGGAAUGCAUAUGUGAGGAUGAAUGACGUUAUGAGUAGAGAUUAUUAUUGUGCUUUGUUAAAUGUUCCUUAAGGUGCUACAUAAUUGAAUUGUGGUAUUAUGUUGAGACCUAGUGGUCUAUGUGACGAAUGUUCGAUAGUAGUGAAAUGUGAACUACGAAUGACUUGAUCCCUGUUGAGGGUACGUAGGUAGUCUAACGAGGAGGUUAGAUGCAGUCAUAAAAUACACAAAAAUUACAACGAAAUUCGAAUAUUGAAUUAUGCUUUGUAAAUAUUUCGGGCGGGAUAUGUGAGAUAUACGGGUUUUUAAUGACGUCACGUGCUGAUCUUGGACGUAUGUCGGGAUCAGGGCGUGACAAAAUGAGUUUUAUGAAAUGAAAUGGCAUGCCAAUUAUAUUUAUAUUAAGAAUGUGCAUAUGUGAUUAUAUAUGUUGUGAUUCGAUGCUAUGGGCGCUCAGGUAAGUUUCAAGUAAGUUUAUGUGUUGAGUUUAAGGUGUGGAAAAAUGAUGAUUGUUGAGAUGUGUUGAGAGCUCAUUAACCUGCACCCGGGUGUUAGUGCUCCUGCCCAUGGUUAGGGGCACAGUCUUUCACGUGAUGUUUACCUCCCGUAGCACACGCUCAUCUUGGAUCCAAGUUAGGUGCACAAUCCUGUUGUAUAGACCACUUUCAGUGGGUUCGACUCGUUGGUGACCUGCAAUCAUUCGCACAGUCUUCACGUGAUUGUAGCAUUAGAGCAUAUUUGUUUUACACCCAGUCAUGUCGUAUAGACCACUAUAGGUGGGUUCGACUCGUGUGCAGACAUGAUUUAUGAGAUAGAAUUCAGUUGAUUUGAUAUUCUCACAUGUUAUCACUCCUUGGGGUACUUACCUUGUUAUUUGAGAUGAUUGGCAUGGUAUAUUCACGUUUUGACUUUGGAUUUUGAUAUUGCUGGAUAUGUUGAGAUUACGAGUAUAUGUAUAUGCUAUUUGCUGGGAAAUUAUACAGGUUUUACAGAGAGGGGUUAUACUUUUGAGAAAUGAAAUGAUUUUGAAAAGUUUUGUUUUUUGCCCACUCACGCGUUUUGUUUUGCGCCCCUCUAGGUUUUAGGUAGCGUUGUUGGUGGCUUACGAGUUUUCAGCGGAGGUUCUGACAGACCAUCACUUAUGUAGAAUCACCUUUGGGUGUUGUUAUUUAGUACUUUUAUGCUUGACUGCACUUAGGCUAGUUAAGCUCUGAUUGUGUAUUCACACUUAAUUUCCACUCUUGCAUCUUAGUCUUGUCUAGUACUAUCAGGAUUUGGUUUCUAUUCAAUUGUAUUUCUCUAUAUUAAUCUUGCUUCCGCACUGUGCAUAUGGCUACGUCACCCUCACGUGACGGUUAGCAUGUCUCGAUCUUGGUCGGGGUGUGUCAUCAAGUCACCUUUUAACUUCUAUUAUGUUGAUUUUUGUCUGUAGGUACACAAAAAUAUGCAGAUUUGGCUUUCAAAUUGAGAGGCCUAAGGACAAUCUCUGUUCAUAGAAAAAAAAGUUGGACAUAGAAGGCAUGGGUAUGGGAACAUGAUUGGUUGUUAUAUUGCUUUGGGACGUUUUGAUAUUUUAGAGAUUAAUGAGUUUGUGGAGAUUUUGUUUUUCACAUCUUGCUUUGUAUUUGAACUUAAGCACUAUAACUGAACUUACUUUAAAAUUAUAGGACUUCAAAACGCGACCGCGGUUAGGAUUAGAAAGGGCCAAGUAUAUAUGUUGAGAAACUAGGCAUUGCAAGCAUAUAAAUUCCAAUUUUAUUAUUGCUAAACCAUAUAUCAAAUGUAGUUAGGAAUUAAAUUAAGUACAAACUACAUGGGGAUGGAGAAAGUUAUGUAUAGGUGAGAGCCUAAAAAUACUUGAGAAUCAAAUACUGCACAAAUUUGUGAUAAGUUAGAUGAGUAAAGAUCGCCUUUUGUCAAGCAGUUUUUGACUUUUCUGCAUUCUUUUAUAUAGUUUUUUCUUUUUUUCUUCCUAUUUUGUCAGAUUAGAUAGAUAGGGGCGCUAAUAAAAAAAAAGAAAGAAAGUAUUUUUGCAUUUUGCUGCACGUGAUGAUGUUGAUGAUAUACAAUAUUCAAUGACUAAACCCUAUUCCCUAUACUAUAGCAAAAAAUGAAGCAUAAUUAUACAAUAGCUACACACAAAACAUUGAAAGUAUACAUGCGUGCAGUAAGAAUGAAUGGUAAAAAUGCCAUGUUCCUUUUAACAUUGCGAAUUACCGAGCUUUAUGGAGGGAGUAUAAAUACGAAUGCUCUUGGUGGUCUUCAUCUAAUUUCUUAUUAGUAUCAUCUCGAUGUUUUGGAACUUUUGACAGCCCUCUCACCGAACAUAUAAUUUUUAGGGGCGCGCAGCGCUCGUAAUUAAAAAAACGCGCAUGCGGAGAGGCUGGUAUAUACUAAAGUCCUACGCCCAAAAAUGCUGUUCAUAAGAGCAGUGUAAAGACGCAAAUACCCCUCCUCAACUGAUCUUUUCCUUCCUAUAUUUCAUGAGGCUACAGUAAAAAGACGAAAAACCAUGUUGCACACGUGGCGUGCUAGCGAGAUUUCUCUCUUCCACCGCUUCCUUCCUCUGCAGUCUACACCUCUUGCGUUUUUGCCUUUCCUCUCCAGCUGUCGGCCAUCACAGAGUCUUAUGGCAUCUUCCCGUUCUUUUCGCUGUUUUUCCUUCGGUUGCUUUUCACUUCUUUUCCUCUAAUUUGACUUCGUUUGUUUUGUGUUAUGUGGUUUUUAUUGAUUUUCAAUGUGUAUUGAUUGAUACUAACAAUUACAAGAUGAAACUUAUAUAUAGGGAAAGAAAGAUGACAUAAGCCUAACUUGCCUAACUUGCCUAACUUACACAAAGAAAGUUGACUAGCCUAACUUCACUAGUCAUCCAAUACAAUUGUUCCAACAUGUUUAUUUCAUGCAUUUUAACACUCCCCCUCAAGUUGGAGUGUGGAUGUCAAUGAUACCCAACUUGCUAAGUAAGACCUCAAAUUGCGCCGAGCUUAGUGGUUUGGUGAACAAAUCUGCAGGUUGAUUCGAGGUUCGUAUGUAAGCUGUUUGCACCAUUCCCAUCUGAAUCUUCUCACGUACUAAGUGACAGUCGAUCUCUAUAUGCUUCGUUCGUUCAUGAAACACUGGGUUCGAAGCAAUGUGCAUGGCAUCUUGAUUAUCACAAAACAAUGUGACUGGUUGUGCAUGAUUCACUCGUAAGUCCUUCAAAAGGUUUCUUAGCCAUAUAACUUCACAACAGGUGAUAGCCAUAGAACGAUAUUCUGCCUCUGCACUAGAACGAGAUACUGUGCUUUGCUUCUUUGUUUUCCAAGAUAUCGGUGCUUGCCCAAGGAAGAUACAAUAACCGGUUAUUGACCUUCUAGUGUCUUUACACCGAGCCCAAUCAGCAUCACAAAAAGCUUGUAAUUGUAGUGAACCUGUAGAAGGCAAAAGAAUUCCCUGGCCAGGAGAUUGUUUGAUGUAUCUGAGAACCUUAUACACUGCAUCAAGGUGUGGUUGUCGCGGCUUGUCCAUGAAUUGGCUUAACAUAUUAACCACGUAAGUCAGGUCAGGCCUCAUGAUGGUUAAGUAAAUUAGCCUCCCUACGAGUCUCCUAUAUGAAGAAGGAUCAUGUAGGAGCGUCCCUUCAGUUUAUGUAAGGGACAAGUUUGGUUCCAUGGGCAAUCGUGAGGGCUUCGCACCAAGGAACCCAACAUCUUCUAGUAUCUCCAACGCAUAUUUGCGUUGGCACAAGGCAAUCCCUUGUUUAGAUCUUGCAACUUCUAUCCCCAAAAAAUAUUUGAUUUUUCCCAAAUCCUUUAGCUUAAAAUGUUGGGAAAUGAAGAGUUUAGUCUCUUCAAUUUCUCUCAAAUUGUUACCUGCAAGUAUUACGUCAUCAACAUACACAAGUAAUGCCAUGAAACUGCCUUGAUUGAUGAAAACCAGCAGUCUUGAGAGCACUAGACAGCUUAAUAAACCACUGUCUUGAGGCCUGUUUUAAACCAUAAAUGGAUUUGUGUAAUUUGCAUAGUUGUGUCUCCCCCUUUCGUCCGAACCCAGGAGGUAUAUAAACCUCAUCGUAUAAGUCACCAUGCAAAAAUGCGUUGUUUACAUCAAGUUGGUGAAGAUGCCAACCACAGAUGAAGGCAAUACUGAGGAGGACAUGGACGGUGGUGAGCUUGGCAACUGGAGCAAAUGUUUCCCGAUAAUCAAGCCCUUCAAUUUGACUAUAGCCUUUAGCAACGAGACGGGCUUUGUAGCGUUCAACACUGCCGUCAAGUUUAAGCUUCACCUUAUAGAUCCAUUUGCAGCCUAUGGGAUGUUUGUGAGGUGGUAAGGGCACAAGAGUCCAAGUGCGAUUGUCAUGGAGGGCAUCAAUCUCUUUUUGCAUGGCGUCACGCCAUUUUGGAUCCUGAACAGCCUGCGAAAAACUGGUGGGUUCUUUGAUAAUGGUGAGGGUGGUGAGAAAGGUUUUGUGAGGGGGGAUACAUGGUCAUAGGAUAAAUAACGAGAUAGGGAGUGAGAUGUACCUGAGGACUGAACCAUGCUUGUGGAAGAUGUGGGUGCAACACGGGAUGGGAGGGCCACCUCAACAUGAAAGUCUUGCAAAAAUAUGGAAGUUUUGGUUGGUCGAGUGCUAGGACGGAGUGCAGGGGUUGGAUCUGGUGAUGGAGUGGUUGGAGGUGGGGAAGAGUGUAGGGUAGGUGAAGGUGUUGAUAAGGUAUCUGGUGGUGGAGUUGUAGAGGGUAAAGGAGAUGAGGGUGGUGUGAUGUCGGCAAGUGUGGGAGAUGUGGUGUUUAUGUCUGCUGGUGCAAGGCUUGAAUGCGACUCAAUGGGAGAGGUCGAGUCAAACGGGAUAGGUGUAGUGUUUGAUGGAGACGGGGCAACGGAAGUGUUACAAUGUUGGAAUGGAAAAUGAUCUUCAAAAAAUACGACAUCCCUAGAAACAAAAGUCUUAUUGUGUUUUAUAUCAAACAAUUUAUAACCCUUUUGACCAUAAGGAUACCCAAGAAAAAUGCAUUGGAUUGCACGAGGGUCAAAUUUAGAGGGCCUUUGGGCAUGUGUAGAAGCAAAACACAAGCUACCGAAAACCUUCAAAUGAGAAUAGUUAGGUGCUUUGUGAAACAGUUUUUCGUAUGGUGUUUUACCUUGGAGAAGUGGAGUGGGUGUUCUAUUGAUGAGGUAGGCUGAGGUUAGGAUUGCAUCUCCCCAAAAACAUUUUGGCAGACAAGCUUGAAAGAGCAAAGCCCGAGCAACAUUGAGCAAGUGCCGGUGUUUACGUUCGGCAACACCAUUUUGUUGUGGUGUGUUGACUCAACUAGAUUGAUGUAUGAUGCCUUUGAGAGCAUAAAAUUGCUCAAGUUUAAACUCAGGGCCAUUGUCACUUCGUAUGAUUUGAACUCUGGUAUUGAAUUGAGUCUCAAUCAUUUGAAUGAAUUUGACUAAAAUGUCUUUUGUGUCAGAUUUAUGUUUCAUCAAAUGAACCCAAGUGCUUCUAGUGUAGUCAUCUACGAUGGUAAGGAAAUACUUGGCACCUGAAAUAGAAGCAACUUGAUAACCACCCUAAAUAUCAAUAUGCAAUAAUUCAAAACAUGAUUUGGUAGAAAUAGAGCUCAAAGGAAAGGGUGAUCGUGUUUGUUUGGCCAAUGGGCAAAUUGAACAUUUUUCCAAAUCACAAGCUUUAUUGUUAAAGAAAGGUAAUAACGAAGUGGCUUUAUGAGAUGGGUGUCCUAGGCGUUGGUGCCAAAGCUUUGGUGCGAUGGUUUGAAUAUUGUUGCAUGUUCUUUUCCUUGAUGAGUCGAGGUAGUAGAGUCCAUCCCUUUCAGUUCCCAUCCCAAUCAUCUUCCCCGAGCGAAGGUUCUGAAUGACACAAAAUUGGGUGAAGAAAAUUGUGACAUAUAAGGAAUCAUAGGCUAGUUUACUGAUGGAUAUUAAAUUUAAUUUAAAGAAUGGCACACAUAGGACAUUGUCAAGGAUAAGAUUAUGAGAGAAAACAACUUGUCCAAUGUGAGUGACUUUGGCAACGGAACCAUUUGGCAGUUCAACUGUAUGAUUUUCAACAGCUCGUGAGUGUGUAAAGAGACUAGGGUUGAAAGUUCUUCAUGACUAGAAGGAUUACCGACUUGAUUGGCAAAUGAUGAUUUGUUCUUGUUCAACAUUUGAAGGAUUUGCUUGCAAUCCUCCUGAGAGAACGGGAAAUUGGGCAACAUCUCUUGCUUGUUACUUUGUGAAACUUGAUUCCCUUUUGAAGAAAAAGGACGACUGCUUUCCGUUUCUGUGGCUGCUUUUCGUUUUCGACAGAAAUCGAAGGUGUGACCUUUCCAUCCACAAAAAGUGCACUUGAGAUGUGCACGACAGUUUUUGGUGAUGUGAUUUGUUCUAUUGCACUUUCCACAUCGCAUCUCUUUGUCUUCCGGUGUAGGUUCUUGCGACAAAUUCUUCACUCCAAAGACAACAGCCUCUGGUUGUGUACUCUUCCCAUUGGAAACCUCUGCCUGGCGUUCAUGUCGAAGGACCAACGCAUAUGCCUUGUUCACCGUAGGCUGUGGUUCAAGAAGAAGGGUAUUGCUUCGAACCGUAGCAUACGAUUCGUUCAAUCCCAUAAGGAACUUCAUGGUUUUCUGAGUUUCAACAUAUGAGUUCAUCUCAUUCUUUGUUCCACAACUGCAUGCUGGAAUGGAACACAAAGUAUCACGUUCAUCCCAUAAACUUUUAAGUUUAGUGCAGUAAGAACUUACACUCAUAUUGCUUUAGACGCAAUCAUGGAUCUCGUUCUUAACAUGGAACAGCUGAACUAUAUUCACAUGUGAGAACCUCUCCUGCAGAUCGGUCCACAUUUGUCGAGCAUCCUUGUAGUUGAUGACACUCCUUGAAAUCUCCUUUGACAUGGAGCCUAGUAGCCAUGUCUUGACCAAGUUGUUGCAGCGAUUCCAUUGUUGCAACUCCUCAGAAUUGUCCUCACUUGGUUUGUUGAUUGUCCCAUCAACAAAACCAAGUUUGUUCUUGACCGUUAAGGCCAUACUCAUGGAUUGAACCCAUGUGCUGUAGUUGUCUUCCACCAAUGGUUGUGGUACGAGGAUUGCACCAGGUUGGUCCGAGUGGUGGAGAUAGAGUGGGUGGUUGGGAUUUUCCCAUUUUGAAUGAGAAGCCAUGCCUGGAAUGGUUGACCUCAUGACUGCCUUAGAGCUUGUGUUUUGUGGUUUUCCCAGAUCACAGCUCUGAUACCAUAUUGAUUUUCAAUGUGUAUUGAUUGAUACUAACAAUUACAAGAUGAAACUUAUAUAUAGGGAAAGAAAGAGGACAUAAGCCUAACUUGCCUAACUUGCCUAACUUACACAAAGAAAGUUGACUAGCCUAACUUCACUAGUCAUCCAAUACAAUUGUUCCAAUACAAUUGUUCCAACAUGUUUAUUUCAUGCAUUUUAACAGUUUUGGUUUCGUUUGCUCUCUUUCCCUUCUUCUCUGUUGGUUUCUGUUGCUUCUCCAUCAGUUCACCCAAACCACCGCUUGCUUCUCCACCAGUUCACCCAAAUCCGACGAAGGGCGCCACAACAAACGUGCCAAUCUUCCUGCACCACCGGUCUCCGCAACGUUUUCCAAAACCCGCUUGACCGAAGGUAAGCGAAUUUGGUGUUCUGGAUUAUAUCGGAAUUGAAAUAGGUUUGGUUUCAUUAACUUUUUGGGUUAAUAAAUUUGUAUGCUCUGAUUCUUUUGAAUUUGAGUUUGGAUUGGAAUUUAAUUUUGAUUUACAAAUCUCUGAUAAAACCUCAACAAGAAACUUAAACCCUCAGCAAGAAACUUAAACCCAAUGCAUCAUCCUAUUAAUUCCAACAUCUCCUCAAUAAGUAUUCUAAGAUAUAAAUAUUACAAUUCUGGUGAUCAUAGAAAAAUGCAUAUUUGAGUGAUCAUGGAACACUGUUAGUAGCUACACAUAUCAUAAUAAUUUAGGAUAUGGACGUUAAAUUAUCUUAAACUGCAGAAUGUGGCUUUUACAUUGUUAUAUGGAAUUUCCCCUAGGAAGAAAUAGCAUUGAACUUAUAGGAUGGAUACAUAAAUAGCCUAUGUACGCAUUACAAAAUGAUUUAGUUGUUUGGGAUUAAACAAAGUUUGGUUUUUCAUGGUGAGUUCUCAACUGGGUUUUACUUAUUUUUUUGCCUCCGAUAUAAGUUUUAGAUGCUUUUCUUUGUUUUUCGCUAAUUUUUAAAUUUAUUUUUUUUACUAUUUAGUGUGAGAAAAUGGCUUCAAAAUUGGAUUUCCAAUGUCUGGGCAGAGGAAAACAGGAAGAGAACACCAAUGGUGGUUACGAAGGAGAAUCCCUUCUUUGCGGUGGAAAUUGACGGUCCAUGUGCAACAUUCAACCCAGUUUAUAAGAGCAGGGGUCAAUAUGAAGAACCAAUGACAUGGGGUUUUGUUUAAUUUUAUUAAGUUUUGUACUGAGGUAAAAUUCUCCCCAUUUAACAUAGUUUUAAAUGUUGAUUAGUAUAUGUGUAAAUAGGAUUGUGAGUAUGGUUGUAUAUGUAGUAGUAGAAUUGAAAACAUUGUUGUAAUUAUGUGUAAGUAGAGUUGUAAACCCGACGCAUCGCGCGGGCCUUUUUGCUUGUUACCCCUAAACGUUACAAAAAUCCCAAAAAUUAAAAGGAAACUAAAAAAAAUUAGAAUUUACCCAUAGUUUCGCGAAUCCCAGCCGGAUGAACUGGUGGCAGUUGUAAGAGCGGAUCUCCAGCUCCGAACCUCUUCUAUUUCAGCGUUAGAAUCAUGGUCGUGCUGAUCAAAAGCUUUCGCGAAACUUCCCUUUAGUUUACGACAUCAGACGGAUCAACUUCAUAGAAAAUGGGGAGUACAAUCUGUUUAUUGGUAUCCUCGCAUUCCAGGAUUUGCACGAGUUCUUUCAAGCACCAAGUGGAAGAAGCAUAGUUUUGAGAGAAAACUACAAUCGAAAUCCUUGACUCUCGAAUGGCUGACAGGAGCUUGGAAAGGCGGUCGCCUUUUCUGAGGUCUUCGGCAUCAAUGAAGGCGUUGAUUGGUUUCUGACGCAGGGCUUUGUAGAGAUGGCUGACGAAGCCCCUGCGAGUGUCUUCCCCUCUGAAAUUGAUGAACACAUCGUAUUUCCAACCAAGGCCAGAAGAAGAAGAAGAAGCAGCCAUUAAUCGAUCGAGCAGCUAAGUCCUAGAGUAAUGUAAGAACAGAAAUACUCGAUUGAUCAAUAAAUUGAAUCACAGAAAAAACUGGUCUGAUCGAUACGAAGUCAACGAGGACAGAAAAUUAUGCUUUAUGUGUUUUCACAUCUUCUUCCGGGAAAUUUAACGAAAAUAAUUUUCUUGCCGGCAAAAUUGACUUCAAAAUAUAAAAAUAUUCUUCCAGGUAUGGACAUAUGAAGUUUCAGUGUGAAACGAAUCUGCAUACUUUGGUUUGGUUUUGACCCAAGAAAAUGCUAAGAAAGGAUGGUUUAGCAGCUUUGCAUGAGGGGACUGGGUCAAAGUACUCUGUUGAAUCUGCCCUUGCCUACCCAACAACUUCUUUGUAAGUCGGAAAUAAAUCCCGAUCUUCCUAUUCACACGAAAAAUGAGUGGGGUGACAGGAAAUAUUUCUUGUUAAAUGUAAGCAUCUCACACAUGUGGUAUAUUCAAAGGUAUUGAGGCGACAAACGAGCGAUUAAUAGUUUGGCUUUUAAUUUGAUGUCACGGUAGUAACGGUACUUACUAUGAAAUCUUUGAUAUAUUUGCUUUUAGCUACAAAACAACUAAAACUCCACAAAUUGCUUAUGAAAAUAAAAAAUAUUGACAAGAUUUGAACUUGUAUUAUCUACAUCUUCACUACACAUUGUUGCUCCGCUCGUGUUCUGAAGUUGACAAUAGCUAGAAGGUCACAGCAAGAAGCAGAGGAGGCUAACUGUUACAGAAAAUUUGUUUAUUCAAAGCAUUAAUAAAAACACAUUGAAAUUAAUUCACGCAAAAAAUAAAUAAUACAGUGAAGGAUUUACAGUGGUGGCAGCCACACUUCAAAAAUAGGGCGUCUCACCCUGUGGAGAAAGCAUUUUUUGCUAUGAAUAAAAAUUCCACUGCGUAACAAAACAGGAGAUUAAUGAUUGAGUGAUAGCUGAGUUGUUUGCAAUGAGAGAGAUGUUUUUACUUUUAUUGAUAAGGAGUCUACAUAUGCGAUGUUCUCAUAGUAUAAAACUUCGCCGACAACAAUUAUAACUUGUUUGUGUUGAUAAAUUUUGAAUGACAUUAAUAUUGUCUAAUAUCUAAAAGAAUUUGGAUGGCUACAUUUUUUUUUUUUGGAAAACCUUUUAACCUUAUAAAUUGCGGGCUUCUUCCGACAAUUCCUAACUUCGUCACUGCUUCAGUCAACUCGAAGUCCUAGUGGUUCUUGUCCAUGAUAUCAAUAUCCCUACAAUAAACGGUGACUUCAAUAUGAGCUACACUCAGUCUAACAAAAAGUUUGUAUAGAGAAGAUAUGCAUGAAAAAAUGGCAAUGGUUGUGUUUGUGUUGCUGAACGAAUGAUACUGAAAUACCUAAACCCAAGUCAAGCUCCUUUAGUCCACGAAAACAAAAGUUUAGAAUACAAUAAUGUUUGCAUAUAGACUAGAGAAACGACAUACCGCAGGCCAGGAAGGUGCAGUGAAAGAGAGAGGAAGAGAGGAAAAGAGGAAAGAAACAAACAUGAAAUGACAAAGACUAUCAAAUAGAUUAUAACAAUGACUUCUUAGCGAUGGUUACAACUAUUUAACUAUCGAUAAUGCAUUAUUUUAGUUUGAAACGUGGAAGCAUUUGAGAAGUAGCAUGUCAACAACCAUUACACAAUAAUAUUGUCUAAUAUCUAAAAGAAUUUGGAAGUCUACAUUUUUUGGAACCUUUUACCCUUAUAAAUUUUGCGCCUCUCCUGACAAUUUCUAGUUUCGUCGUUGCUUCAGUCAACUCCAAGUUCUAGUGGUUCUUGUCUAUGAUAUCAAUAGCCCCACCGUAAAUGGUGACUUCAGUAUAAGCUACACUUAGUAUAAGUGUAUGGGGGACAUAUAUGUAUGAAAAAAUGGCAGUGGUUGUAUCUGUGUUGACUAACGGAUGGUACUGGAAUACCUAAACCCAAGUCAAGCUCCUUCAGUCCACAAAAAUCAAAAGUUUAUAAUAUAAUAAUGUUUGCAUAUAGACUUGAGAAAAGACAUACCGCCAGCCGGGAAGGUGCAAUGAACAAGAGAGGAAAAGAGGAAAUAAACGAACAAGAAAGGACAAAGACUAUCCAAUAGAUUAUAACAAUGACUUCUUAGUAGUGAAGUGAUUAAGCUAUUCCACUAUUAAUAAUGCAUUAUUCUUAGAUUGAAAUGGUUCAGAAAUUUAAAAGCCAGAAUUGACUUAUAUAAAAUCAAUUUUUAAUUGGGUAGAUGUAAUUUGUAAAACAAAAAUGUUUAUAAAAAAAAAUUUCUCUUGAAAAUGUAUUCUGGUGCCAGGAUUUAAACCUGGAUGAAAACUCUUAACCGUAAGACUUUUUGUAGUGAGCAACACUGGACUAGUUGAUAGACUAUGAUGAAAUAAACCAUUUAAAUGUACUCCUUACGUUAUGCAGUGCGCAUACUGGAUAAACAAUUAGUGCACAUAAUGUGGUUAUCUGAUUUGUGGGGAAUGGUGAUGCUCACCGCUGACUUUUGGUUUACUGACAGGCUCUCAAAGUUAAAUAUAUCAGAUUUUGUUUGACAUUCGUAACAUAUUUUAAUAUUUUCACCACAACAACAACAACAACAACAAAGUCUUUUCCCACUAAGUGGGGUCGGCUAUAUGAAUCCUAGAACGCCAUUGCGCUCGGUUUUGUGUCAUGUCCUCUGUUAGAUCCAAGUACUCUAAGUCUUUUCUUAGAGUCUCUUCUAAAGUUUUCCUAGGUCUUCCUCUACUCCUUCGGCCUUGAACCUCUGUCUCGUAGUCACAUCUUCGAACCGGAGCGUCAAUAGGCCUUCUUUGCACAUGUCCAAAUCACCGGAACCGAUUUUCUCUCAUCUUUCCUUCAAUUUCGGCUACUCCUACUUUACCUCGGAUAUCCUCAUUCCCAAUCUUAUCCUUUCUCGUGUGCCCACACAUCCCACGAAGCAUCCUCAUCUCCACUACACCCAUUUUGUGUACGUGUUGAUGUUUCACCGCCCAACAUUCUGUGCCAUACAACAUCGCUGGCCUUAUUGUCGUCCUAUAAAAUUUUCCCUUGAGCUUCAGUGGCUUACGACGGUCACACAACACGCCGGAUGCACUCUUACACUUCAUCCAUCCAGCUUGUAUUCUAUGGUUGAGAUCUCCAUCUAAUUCUCCGUUCUCUUGCAAGAUAGAUCCUAGGUAGCGAAAACGGUCGCUUUUUGUGAUCUUCGCUAGAUUACUCCGGUCAUUAGCGUGGAUAAGUAUAUAAAUGGAUAGAGAUAGGAAAGCAAACACAAGAUGUACGUGGUUCACCCAGAUUGGCUACAUCCACGGAAUAGAGGAGUUCUCAUUAAUUGUGAAGGGUUUACACAAGUACAUAGGUUCAAGCUCUCCUUUAGUGAGUACAAGUGAAUGAUUUAGUACAAAUGACAUUAUGAAAUAUUGUGGGAGAAUGAUCUCGUAAUCAUGAAACUUCUAAGUAUCGGAGUGUGGUAUCGUCUUGACUUGCCUUAUCUGUCUCAUAGGUAGAUGUGGCAUCUUCUCUGGAAGUACUCUUCCUCCAUCCAUGGGUGGUAUCUUUAACUGGUGGAGAUGCAUAAGGUAAUGUAUCAAUUUCACUUGAAGCUUACUUGUAGUUUCAGGCUUGGUCAAGCGCGAUACAAACCAUGUAGUAGGAGUCCCCCAAGUCGCCGAGCUAGGGGAUUUGCUGAAAGAGGUGACAGACAAGGUAAGCAAUCAGAGCUCCGGCUGAUUGUUCACAUUCUCCCUAUCUUGCAGGCAGCAUGAAGGAUAAAGAGAAGAAAAAAUGAGAAGAGAUGAUAUGGGAUACUUUUGCUUUUGAAGAAGUAACUUUCCACAGGCUUAUUCUUGAACUGAAGCUGGAGGGUUUUCUGGUUUCCUCCAGAGUAUAAGGCCGACUGAAGAAUUUGAGGGUCAAAACAAGUCCAUCAAAUCUAGAGUACGUUCGACCCUGCUGAUAUGGGAUACUUUUGCUUUUGACAGAGUAAUGGAUGUAUCGGCACGUGUGCUGUUACGCUUGUCUCUCCACAUGCUUCCUUGUAUCCUUCUCACUUGCCCUAUCUGUUCCUCAAGGCAAGAUGCGGUAUCUUCCCUGGAAGCAUAAGAUGUUGAAGAUGAGUACUCGAGAGCAAUGCCAGGUAAGUAAUCAGGUAAGGGGUUCCAGGCAGUCAGUUCCUAGCUGGAAGCUUGAUUCCAAGUGCUGACUGAUUGCUCUCUUUCUCCUUGUCUUGCAGGUAAAGAACAAGGCCAAAGGAAAAGACAGGGAAAAAGCAUGAUAUGGGAUAUACUCUUGCUUUUUAACCCUGAUGAUAUGAGAUAUUCUUGCUCUAGUAUAGCUUGUUUGUAGAGGUAUUAUCGGGGGGAAAGAAAGCUGAAUAUUUCGAAAGGCUUCGUUGGGAGUGCCCUCUCAGAUAUGAGAAAGGGUUGAGCAUUUUUGCAGGUCUGCCUGUCCGUUGGGGAUGGAGGUCGACAUAUAUAGGAGUCUCCCUAAUAACAAGUAGUAAUGUUAUUCCUUUACCCUGCUUGGUCAUAGCACGAUAGUUGGAGCUGCCAGCUUCACAUGUUUUAACUCUGUCAGAGCACUUUGAAAAAGUGGUCUGUGGUAUCUGGAAAGCUGAUGUUGCGUGUGAAGAUUACAGACAAGCUUUACCCAAGGAGAUUUGGUUCUUGAAGUUGGGAAAAUGGUGCCUUUUCGGUUUUCGAACAAGCAAUCCUAUCGGGGAUCUGGCUCUCGAGAUUUGGAGAACGAUGCCUCUUCGAUUUUUGAGAAAGCAAUCAUGCUGGGGGUCUAGCUCUCGAGAUUCGGAGAGCGGUGUCUCUUCGAUUUUUGAGAAAGUAAUCAUGUUGGGAGUCUGGCUCUCGAGAUUCGGAGGACGGUGCCUCUUCGAUUUUGGAGCAAGCAAUCUUGUUGAGAAUGUUUUCUCGAAUGUGAGUAAAGGUUGGGCAUGUUUGCUAGUCUACCUUGCCACGAAGCACAGAGGUUGACACACAGGGACUUUCCAAUUAUCCAGCAAUGGUACUGUUCCUUUACCCUCUUUUCGAUUUUUGAGAAAGUAGGCAUGUUGGGAGUCUGGCUCUCGAGAUUCGGAGGACGGUGCCUCUUCGAUUUUGGAGCAAGCAAUCUUGUAAUCUUGUUGGGAGUGUUUUCUCGAAUGUGAGUAAAGGUUGGGCAUGUUUGCUAGUCUACCUUGCCACGAAGCACAGAGGUUGACACACAGGGACUUUCCAAUUAUCCAGCAGUGGUACUGUUCCUUUACCCUCGUGGGUAAUAAUAUGGUAGCUAGACCUUCAAAAUUUAUGUGUCUAAACUUUGUUAGUGUUGUUUCUUUGCUAUUCUUUUACCCUUCUUGGUCAGAGCGAUGUAGUGGGAGCUGCAAGCUUCACGUGCUCAACUUUGGCAGAGAACUUUGGUAAAGUUAUCUGUGGUACCCAUGAGCUACUGUUGCGUGUGGGAAGUGGGUGAUUGAACAGUAAGAUUCAUGUGCCUUCUACUUCACCAGAAGUCUUCGACAUAAUGCCCAUAAUUUCCGCAAAGCUGAGUGUGCGUGUGACAGGUGCUGACAAGGCUGGAAAAGUAGGUGCCUCUUUGAUUUCUGAGAUCGACCCUCAUGGUCUCUGAGCAGCCCAGCUUUUGAGAAAGCAAGCGCCUCUUCGAUUUCUGAGAUCGGCCUUCGUGGUCUUUGAGCAACCCAGCUUUUGAGAAAGCAAACGCCUCUUCGGUUUCUGAGAUCAACCCUCGUGGUCUCUGAGAGUAAAGGUUGGGCAUGUUUGCUAGUCUACCUUGCCAUGAAGCACAUAGGUUGACACAUUCGGAGAGCGGUGUCUCUUCGAUUUUUGAGAAAGUAGUCAUGUUGGGAGUCUGGCUCUCGAGAUUCGGAGGACGGUGCCUCUUCGAUUUUGGAGCAAGCAAUCUUAUUGGGAGUGUUUUCUCAAAUGUGAGUAAAGGUUGGGCAUGUUUGCUAGUCUACCUUGCCACGAAGCACAGAGGUUGACACACAGGGACUUUCCAAUUAUCCAGCAGUGGUACUGUUCCUUUACCCUUAUGGGUAAUAAUAUGGUAGCUAGACCUUCAAAAUUUAUGUGUCUAAACUUUGUUAGUACUAUUUCUUUGCUAUUCUUUUACCCUUCUUGGUCAGAGCGAUGUAGUGGGAGCUGCAAGCUUCACGUGCUCAACUUUGGCAGAGAACUUUGGCAAAGUUAUCUGUGGUACCCAUGAGCUACUGUUGCGUGUGGGAAAUGGGUGAUUGAACAGUAAGAUUCAUGUGCUUUCUACUUCACCAGAAGUCUUCGACAGAAUGCCCAUAAUUUUCGCAAAGCUGAGUGUGCAUGUGACAGGUGCUGACAAGGUUGGAAAGGUAGGUGCCUCUUCGAUUUCUGAGAUCGGCCCUCGUGGUCUCUGAGCAGCCCAGCUUUUGAGAAAGCAAGCGCCUCUUCGAUUUCUGAGAUCAGCCUUCGUGGUCUUUGAGCAGCCCAGCUUUUGAAAAAGCAAACGCCUCUUCGAUUUCUGAGAUCAACCCUCGUGGUCUCUGAGCAGCCCAGCUUUUGAGAAAGCAAACGCCUCUUCGAUUUUUGAAGCUCCGUCGAGUGUAUAUUUUUAUAGGGGCUGGCAUUAAGUUCCAAAGCACACUUGAAUCUCCACCAGUAGAAGCUCCAUUCUUGUACUUCUAAGAUCUUGAUUUGUCCGACUUCUUCUCUCUUCAACACCUUUGAAAAUGUCUGGCCCCUCCGACCGUCGUUUUGACUUGAACCUUGUUGAAGAUGCAGCCCCGCCUUCUCAAGACAACAUAUGGCGCCCAUCCUUCGUCUCCCCUACUGGUCCUCUUACCGUUGGGGAUUCCGUGAUGAAGAAUGAUAUGACCGUUGCGGUGGUGGCCAGGAACCUUCUCACUCCCAAAGAUAACAGACUACUUUCCAAACGGUCUGAUGAGUUAGCUGUUAAGGAUUCUCUGGCUCUCAGUGUUCAGUAUGCAAGUUCUGUGUCUAAUAUGGCCCAACACCUAUUUGCUCGAACCCGUCAAGUUGAAUCAUUGGCGGCUGAAGUGAUGAGUCUCAAACAGGAGAUUAGAGGGCUCAAGCAUGAGAAUAAACAGUUGCACCGGCUCGCACAUGACUAUGCUACAAACAUGAAGAUGAAGCUUGACCAGAUGAAGGAAUCUGAUGGUCAGGUUUUACUUGAUCAUCAGAGAUUUGUGGGUUUGUUCCAAAGGCAUUUAUUGCCUUCGUCUUCUGGGGCUGUAUCGCGUAAUGAAGCUCUAAAUGAUCAACCUCUGAUGCCUCCUCCUUCUAGGGUUCUGUCCAGUACUGAGGCUCCGAAUGAUCCCCCUCCGGUGCCUUCUCUUUCUGGGGCUCUACCGACUGCUGAGACUUCUCCUAAGCAACCUUUGUGAAGGCUCCCUCUUGUUUGUUUAUUUUGACUCAUGUAUAUGUAUGUGUAGCUUAUCGGGGAUAUCAAUAAAUAAGCUUUCCUUCAUUUCAACAUAUUGUGUUAAAUACACCAAAGCCUUCUUCGCUAAGUUCUUUGAAUUUUCUUUUGUUGAAGCUUGUAUGUUGAAACUUUGUGAGUGGAUCAUGUAGGUUAAGGUAGUGUUCCCUUAUUUUCAUCAAUAUUGAUAUUUUAAACAAUGACAAUUCUUAGAAUACUGGAAUUCAUGUCAUUUUCAUAAACAAAUAAAUGGUUAAGAAAUGUAUAUAUUAGAAAAUUAAGAGCCAGAUUUAACUAAUAUUAAAUCGAUUUUAAAUCGGGUAGUAAAACAAAAUUAGGAAUCUGUGUCCUUUUCAUAAAUAAAUAAAUGGUUACAAAAUUUAUAUAUCAUAAAUUUAAAAGCCAGAAUUGACUUAUAUAAAAUCGAUUUUUAAUUGGGUAGAUGUAAUUUGUAAAACAAAAAUGUUUAAAAAACAAUUCUCUUAAAAAUGGUAUUCUGGUGCCAGGAUUCGAACCUGGAUGAAAACUCUUAACCGUAAGACUUUUUGUAGUGAGCAACAUCAGAUGAGUUGAUAGAUUAUGUAACGCCCCGCGCCCGAAAUAUUUAUUUUCAUAAAAUAAUUCCAAUGAUAAGCCUAAAUUAAAUUUUUUAUUUACAUUACAACCAAUAAUCACGAUUCCUUAUUUAAUUUUCUUAAUCCCUCACAAAAACUAUAACCCAUAAUUAACUUACCAAAACAUACGAUUAAAUUUUCAUAAUUUGUCACCAACUUCUACUCUUAAAACAACUUCCCAACUAAAGAUUAAAUCUCAAUUAUUAAGGCUACAUCUAACUCUUGUUAGACUGCCUACAUACCCUUUAGCGGGAUCAAGGCUUUCGUAGUUCAUAAAUCCGUUUAAAUCCAUUCUUAUAGCCGUUUCUGAAAAUAUUCUAGAAUUGGAAAUAUUCAACAUUAGCUUUCACAAUCGAAUCACAUCAAAUGAUUACCAAUUAUGGAUUUAAAUUGUCUAAAUUAGUAUUAAAAGGCAGCGUCGGCCCACUGGCCACGCGCCACCACGGGUGGCGAUCUCCAGUGAUCGGAAACCCCAAUUUCCGACAAACUCUACAAAUUACCAAAUUUUAUAGGGUUGUAGAGUUCAAUUAUAGGAACAACUUUCAUACUUGGGACGAAGUCCAAUUCGGCCAAGAAAAGCCCCAAUUUCACUCAAUUCCGUCUGAACCCUAGAAUUUGGGUGUCCUCAAUUAGUCAUCUCCCGUGCCCCGCCGCCCCAAACAAGGCUUGGUAGAUGUUCCUGGGUUCACAAGGAGUCUAACCAUGGUGGUAGUCAAUGGUGGUGGCUUCACAAACGGGAGAUCGCAGAAACGGACCCAUCGCACCCACCAAUGUAGGUUUCACUAAAUUAAAGCAUAUUUCCAUCGAAAUUGGGAUGGAAUUGGUGAAGGUAUCAAUUGGUAUCGAAGGGAGGGUUAUUUUUGGCACCGUUCCCAUCAUCAACGAUGGUCGGAAUAAAAAACAAUGGUCAGGUCGGGUCGGCGGGUUGAAGGAAGGUCUGGUUCCCUUCUCUCCUUUCCCUCCCUACCUCCCCCUCUGGUUGGUCCGUGUCUCUCGCCUUCUCUCCUUCCCUUUCCAUCACAGCCACACACGUGGCUUCUCAGAUCCUUGCUCCAGCAAAUCUGGAGCCUUUUAGAUAUUGGUCAAAUGACCAUUUUACUCCUAACUUCAAUUGUUAAUAACUUCUUCGUUAUAACUCCGUUUCAUGAACGGUUUUCGUCUACAUGUUCGUAGGGCCAUCCUUUAUCCAAAUAUAUCAAGAAAUCCGAUAAAAUAUAUGAGGAUAAAAUACAUCCUUGUAUAAUUACGUCAAACUAGUUAGGGCAUUUUCUUCUUUUCUACUUAACGAUAAAUUUUACUACGUAAAUUAUAAAAUUUCCGGAAACAAAACUUUAAAAGUUCACAAUUUUUUUUUCUUUCAUAACCAUAAAUUGAUUUAUUGUCGAUUUUUCUUCACAUAUUCAUAUAUUUAAAUUUUCAGGGUAUUACAGAUUAUGACAAAAUAAACCAUUUAAAUGUUCUCCUUACGUUAUGCAUUGCGCAUAUUGGAUAAACAAUUAGUGCACAUAAUGUGGUUAUCUGAUUUGUGGGGAAAGGUGAUGCUCACCGCUGACUUUUGGUUUAGAGACAGGCUCUCAAACUUAAAUAUAUCAGAUUUUGUUUGACAUUCGUAACAUAUUUUAAUAUUUUCACCGUUAUUGAUAUUUUAAACAAUGACAAUUCUUAGAAUACUGGAAUUCAUGUCCUUUUCAAUUUUCAUAAACAAAUAAAUGGUUAAGAAAUGUAUAUAUUAGAAAAUUAAGAGCUAGAAUUGACUAAUAUUAAAUCGAUUUUAAAUCGGGUAGUAAAACAAAAUUAGGAAUCCAUGUCCUUUUCAUAAAUAAAUAAAUGGUUAAGAAAUUUAUAUAUCAGAAAUUUAAAAACCAAAAUUGACUUAUAUAAAAUCGAUUUUUAAAUGGGUAGAUGUAAUUUGUAAAACAAUUUUUUUUUUAAAUAAUUCUCUUAUAAAUGGUAUUCCGGUGCCACGAUUCAAACCUGGAUGAAAACUCUUAACCGUAAAACUUUUUGUAUUGAGCAACACCGAACGAGUUGAUAGAUUAUGACGAAAUAAAAACAUAAUAAUUUCUUUCAAACUUAGUGAAUAACCUUCAGAAAAUAAAAACACCGAACGAGUUCAUAGAUUAUGACAAAUUAGUGGAUAAACACCUUCAGAAAAUAAAAACACCGAACGAGUUCAGCGGUGAGCAUCACCAUUCCCCACAAAUCAGAUAACCACAUUAUGCGCACAAAGAAUCAAUCAAAACAUAAUAAUUGAAUGAACGAGGAUUUCUUUCAUUUUUUCCAAAUUUUCUGAAGGUUUUUUCUAUAAGAACUUUUCUCUGACCAAUGCUUUCUAACAUUUCAUCAUUUUUUUUUAAAUUACACAAAUUCUUUGCAUACAUUGUUGUUAAAAAGAAAAUUUCUAUUAUUAAGGAGAGAGUUCGAAACUAUUGAAUUAUGGAAGAUGGACUUUUGAACUCGAGACACGGGUAGAAACCUAACACCUAUCCACUAGGACAUUAGAUCACCAGAGGUGGUCCUGGUUUUUUGGUGCCGACUGCCCAUGAACACUCAAAAUGUGCUUUUUUCCAGUACAACAUAAAUUAAACUGAAAGAUUUAAAAAGGGCUGGAGCCAGUCGAAGCUGUUGGGACAUUCUUCCAAAGAGGGAGAUGAAAUCGUUGAGGCUCUUACAGAUCCCACGUCACUGUCUUCAUUCAGCAGUUUUCCUCCAUCUACAUCAACAACUGCACGUUGCUCAAGAAGGUACUUCUAAAAAUUGAAAGUCAAACGAUAAAUUAUUAAGAAACAUUGAAUAUAAGCAUGAAACAAAGAAAAUGUUACGGAAUGGUGAUCCUCAUCCUCAAAGAUGAUUAAAAGCAAUUUGAUUCAAAAAUGACAUAUCAACUCUGGAGAAAUGGAAGACAAACAUGUGGUACCAUAUUCGCAACAGAGGUUAUGAAAGCUGAAAUCGAUUGUUCCUGUGUGCAUUGAUAAGUAAGACUACCGUAGAGAUUCACAACUAAGUAAAGACAGGUAUUCCACAGAACAACCCUGACCUCUUUGGAAACACAGAUCUAACAAAAACUAAAACAUUUUGGAUUAAUAUUGACUAAUCAAGAAUAAUGCAAGGGAGCAAAAGAGAUACUCUUCCUUCUAAUAACAAGAAGGCAUAAAAAGUAUACAGAGUUCCAACAAUUAGAGAACUUAAAUCAAACUAAAAAAAUCACCAAAGUAGACAGAAUUUCACUUCGCCAAAAAUUUGAAAAUAUAUCCUUUUUAUCCACUGAGAAUCAUAAACUACUACUACUACAUCAUGCCAAUAAGCAAUGCGUAAGAGGUGCUACAAUUUACCAAUAUAUUUACCCUGAGAACAAGUUUUGAAAUCAUCUCUAGUGUUAACAGCACCUUGCGUCCUUGGGUAAGCUGAGUCCUAGUAUCAAGUAAAGAGACCAAUCAGUACAUAUCCAAAAGAUCUUAAAUGCUUGUAAUACCAAAUAAGAAAGAAACAUGAGUAUAUCUUGAGUUAACCAUGCAAAAAUGUAAUGUUAAGGCAUCUUGUCAUACAGACCUCUUCAAGGUACCAGAAAUUUUUGCACUAAAGAUGUCACAAGCGGCUGAUAUGAAGCUGCAUUUUCUGUGAGUUGAGAUUUUGUCAAUAUAAUCGAUCACCUGAAGAGAGAGAGAGAGAGAGAGAGAGAGAGAGAGAGAAAGACAGUGAUAUCCAGAGAUGUGAGCCUAAAGGCUGAGUGUGUAAAAAAUAAGAUUAAAUGGAUAGCAAGAAUAUACAACUUUAAUGCCGAAAAGAACAUUAUAUGAUGCUCAUUCAUCAUUGCCAUUGAACGUGUACCUUCUUCUUUUCCUCUUUCUCAAAAGGAAGUAGACCCUUGAAGACUUGCCUAUAUGAUCCAUCAUCACAACCAGGCAAAGUCAUUUUAAUCAUAGCAACAAUGGCUCUAACUACCUGCCAUAAGAAACAUGCUACAUCAACAAGAUCACAGAGUGUACCAGAAACCGUAAUGUAGCAAAAUCUUAGAUAGAAUAGCUGGCCAAAAGGGAAUGGAAAAGCAAGCACAAAAAACAAUGAAAAGGACCAGUGAUGCCAAAAUUCAGGUGUUUAUAACUUUAAGUUCUACGUAGCAAAAACCACCUUAUGCACAACAAUAUUGGAAAAAUUAGAUACAUACAACUGAGAAGAUAGGUUUUCAUAAUCUGGACAAGUGCUAACUACCUUCUUCCUAUAAACUGCCACUCCAUGAACAUUAAAUGGUAUUUUCGUUUCACGCAAGGCUGUCUGGAAGACUUUUCCUGAUACCUGUAGUAUAAAAUACAAAAGAAAAUGUGACCAAAAUGUCUUAUAUGAUUCACCUCAUUCACAUUAGCACUAGGGCAAGCAAGCUUGACCUGCCUCCGGUAAAGGAUUGCUAUAUUUCCAUAGGAGCACCCUGCUUCUGACAGUUAGAUGCAGUCUCCAGGAUCUUGUCGACAACAAAGGCGCAUUAUGCAUCCUCAUUGUGACUUUCCUUGAUAAUUACCUACAUUUUGCCAGUAAAACCAGUGUCACUAACUAAAAAGACUGAAAAAUGACAUCAAAUUGUACUUGUUGGAGCAAGGAAAGAUUAGGUACAUUAGACCCAGAAGAAUUGUCGGUGUCAACAUUCUUUAGUUGGCAUCACUUCUUAUUGUUUUUUAUAACAGAAGAUGCAGCUUCCACAAUAUAGCGUGUGGACCGAUAGUUUUUAUUAAGCCUAAUCUGAACCAUAAAGUUAUGUCAAAUCCCACAGAACCCCAUAAAAUAAAACUUACUUUCCUGUAAUUAUACAAUAUAUUUGUUCUAUACUAUAUAUAAUGAAAAAAGACACUGAAUGACAUAAGAUAAACAUAGCAGUUAAGUGCGAAGGAACCUCUUUGUAAUUUGAAAAAUCUUUACAAAAAGAAUCAAAUCCAGAACUGUCCGCCCCGUUGAAACUGAAAAUGGACUGCAGCAGGAUAUAUGUUAUUUGAUUUAGAACAGAUAAGGGCUGGAUUAGAAUGAGCUGAGAGAGAGAGAGAGGGAGAGAGGGAGCAAUAAGAUUGGAUUUCCAUAAUAAAUCAACAACAUGCCUGAUCAUCAUCACCAACAAUGGUUAUGUGGUUAUGAGAGGCGAGAAUCCGCAAAAGACUAUACUGCAUAGCACUUGUGUCUUGAAACUCGUCUAUUACAAUAGCUUUCCAUGACUCCUGGCACUCCUCCGACACUAAUUAAGAGAACACCAUGUAUCAACAUUUAGCAUUACUUGUAAAACUAGAUAAAUCAAUUUAAUAUACUUAGAUGAUAGAGACCUUCAGGAAAAUCACUUAGCAGCUAAUUAAGUCAUGGUAGUCCAAAGCGUUGCACGAUUCCUAAGAAUUUCACCCUGAUUCAGAUUGAGAUCUAAAACUCAUAAGCAAUAGUUUCAGAGAACUGAAAUGAUAACUGAAAUUCUAGAACUGAAAUGAUAACUGAACAACAACAAAAACAACAACAAAGCCUUUUCCCACUAAGUGGGGUCGGCUAUAUGAAUCCUAGAACGCCAUUGCGCUCGGUUUUGUGUCAUGUCCUCCGUUAGAUCCAAGUACUCUAAGUCUUUUCUUAGAGUCUCUUCCAAAGUUUUCCUAGGUCUUCCUCUACCCCUUCGGCCUUGAACCUCUGUCCCGUAGUCACAUCUUCGAACCGGAGCGUCAGUAGGCCUUCUUUGCACAUGUCCAAAUCACCGGAACCGAUUUUCUCUCAUCUUUCCUUCAAUUUCGGCUACUACUACUUUACCUCGGAUAUCCUCAUUCCCAAUCUUAUCCUUUCUCGUGUGCCCACACAUCCCACGAAGCAUCCUCAUCUCCGCUACACCCAUUUUGUGUACGUGUUGAUGCUUCACCGCCCAACAUUCUGUGCCAUACAACAUCGCUGGCCUUAUUGCCGUCCUAUAAAAUUUUCCCUUGAGCUUCAGUGGCCUACGACGGUCACACAACACGCCGGAUGCACUCUUACACUUCAUCCAUCCAGCUUGUACUCUAUGGUUGAGAUCUCCAUUUAAUUCUCCGUUCUCUUGCAAGAUAGAUCCUAGGUAGCGGAAACGGUCGCUUUUUGUGAUCUUCGCUAGAUUGCUCCGGUCAUUAGUGUGGAAUGGAUAGUGAUAGGAAAGCAAACACAAGAUGUACGUGGUUCACCCAGAUUGGCUACGUCCACGGAAUAGAGUUCUCAUUAAUUGUGGAGGGUUUACACAAGUACAUAGGUUCAAGCUCUCCUUUAGUGAGUACAAGUGAAUAAUUUAGUACAAAUGACAUUAGGAAAUAUUGUGGGAGAAUGAUCUCGUAAUCACGAAACUUCUAAGUAUCGGAGUGUGGUAUCGUCUUGACUCGCCUUAUCUGUCUCAUAGGUAGAUGUGGCAUCUUCUCUGGAAGUACUCUUCCUCCAUCCAGAGGUGGUAUCUUUAACUGGUGGAGAUGCAGAAGGUAAUGUAUCAAUUUCACUUGAAGCUUACUUGUAGUUUCAGGCUUGGUCAAGCGCGAUACAAACCAUGUAGUAGGAGUCCCCCAAGUCGCCGAGCUAGGGGAUCUGCUGAAAGAGGUGACAGACAAGGUAAGCAAUCAGAGCUCCGGCUGAUUGUUCACAUUCUCCCUAUCUUGCAGGCAGCAUGAAGGAUAAAGAGAAGAAAAAUGAGAAAAGAUGAUAUGGGAUACUUUUGCUUUUGAAGAAGUAACUUUCCACAGGCUUAUUCUUGAACUGAGCUGGAGGGUUUUCUGGUUUCCUCCAGAGUAUAAGGCCGACUGAAGAAUUUGAGGGUCAAAACAAGUCCAUCAAAUCUAGAGUACGUUCGACCCUGCUGAUAUAGGAUACUUUUGCUUUUGACAGAGUAAUGGAUGUAUCGGCACGUGUGCUGUUACGCUUGUCUCCACAUGCUUCCUUGUAUCCUUCUCACUUGCCCUAUCUGUUCCUCAGGCAGAUGCGAUAUCUUCCCUGGAAGCAUAAGAUGUUGAAGAUGAGUACUCGAGAGCAAUGCCAGGUAAGUAAUCAGGUAAGGGGUUCCAGGCAAUCAGUUCCUAGCUGGAAGCUUGAUUCCAAGUGCUGAUUGAUUGCUCUCUUUCUCCUUGUCUUGCAGGUAAGAACAAGGUCAAAGGAAAAGACAGGGAAAAAGCAUGAUAUGGGAUACUCUUGCUUUUUAACCCUGAUGAUAUGAGAUAUUCUUGCUCUAGUAUAGCUUGUUUGCAGAGGUAUUAUCGGGGGGAAAGAAAGCUGAAUAUUUCGAAAGGCUUCGUUGGGAAUGCCCUCUCAGAUAUGAGGAAGGGUUGAGCAUUUUUGCAGGUCUGCCUGUCCGUUGGGGAUGGAGGUCGACAUAUAUAGGAGUCUCCCUAACAACAAGUAGUAAUGCUAUUCCUUUAACCUGCUUGGUCAUAGCACGGUAGUUGGAGCUGCCAGCUUCACAUGUUUUAACUUUGUCAGAGCACUUUGAAAAAGUUGUCUGUGGUAUCUGGAAAGCUGAUGUUGCAUGUGAAGAUUACAGACAAGCUUUAUCCAAGGAGAUCCGGCUCUUGAAGUUGGGAAAAUUGUGCCUCUUCGGUUUUCGAACAAGCAAUCCUAUCGGGGAUCUGGCUCUCGAGAUUCGGAGAACGAUGUCACUUCGAUUUUUGAGAAAGCAAUCAUGCUGGGGGUCUGGCUCUCGAGAUUCGAAGAGCGGUCUCUUCGAUUUUUGAGAAAGUAAUCAUGUUGGGAGUCUGGCUCUCGAGAUUCGGAGGACGGUGCCUCUUCGAUUUUGGAGCAAGCAAUCUUGUUGGGAGUGUUUUCUCGAAUGUGAGUAAAGGUUGGGCAUGUUUGUUAGUCUACCUUGCCACGAAGCAUAGAGGUUGACACACAGGGACUUUCCAAUUAUCCAGCAAUGGUACUGUUCCUUUACCCUCUCUUCGAUUUUUGAGAAAGUAGUCAUGUUGGGAGUCUGGCUCUCGAGAUUCGGAAGACGGUGCCUGUUCGAUUUUGGAGCAAGCAAUCUUGUAAUCUUGUUGGGAGUGUUUUCUCGAAUGUGAGUAAAGGUUGGGCAUGUUUGCUAGUCUACCUUGCCACGAAGCACAGAGGUUGACACACAGGGACUUUCCAAUUAUCCAGCAGUGGUACUAUUCCUUUACCCUUGUGGGUAAUAAUAUGGUAGCUAGACCUUCAAAAUUUAUGCGUCUAAACUUUUAGUUGUGUUUUCUUUGCUAUUCUUUUACCCUUCUUGGUCAAAGCGAUGUAGUGGGAGCUGCAAGCUUCACGUGCUCAACUUUGGCAGAGAACUUUGGCAAAGUUAUCUGUGGUACCCAUGAGCUACUGUUGCGUGUGGGAAGUGGGUGAUUGAACAGUAAGAUUCAUGUGCUUUCUACUUCACCAGAAUGCCCAUAAUUUCCGCAAAGCUGAGUGUGCGUGUGACAGGUGCUGACAAGGCUGGAAAAGUAGGUGCCUCUUCGAUUUCUGAGAUCGGCCCUCAUGGUCUCUGAGCAGCCCAGCUUUUGAGAAAGCAAGUGCCUCUUCGAUUUCUGAGAUCGGCCUUCGUGGUCUUUGAGCAUCCCAACUUUUGAGAAAGAAAACGCCUCUUCGAUUUCUGAGAUCAACCCUCGUGGUCUCUGAGAGUAAAGGUUGGACAAGUUUGCUAGUCUACCUUGCCAUGAAGCACAGAGGUUGACACACAGGGAAUUUCCAAUUAUCCAGCAAUGGUACUGUUCCUUUACCCUUAUGGGUAAUAAUAUGGUAGCUAGACCUUCAAAAUUUAUGUGUCUAAACUUUGUUAGUGCUGUUUCUUUGCUAUUCUUUUACCCUUCUUGGUCAGAACGAUGUAGUGGGAGCUGCAAGCUUCACGUGCUCAACUUUGGCAGAGAACUUUGGCAAAGUUAUCUGUGGUACCCAUGCGCUACUGUUGCGUGUGGGAAGUGGGUGAUUGAACAGUAAGAUUCAUGUGCUUUCUACUUCACCAGAAGUCUUCGACAAAAUGCCCAUAAUUUCCACAAAGCUGAGUGUGCGUGUAAUAGGUGCUGACAAGGCUGGAAAAGUAGGUGCCUCUUCGAUUUCUGAGAUCGGCCCUCGUGGUCUCUGAGCAGCCCAUCUUUUGAGAAAGCAAGCGUCUCUUUGAUUUCUGAGAUCGGCCUUCGUGGUCUUUGAACAGCCCAGCUUUUGAGAAAGCAAACUUCUCUUCGAUUUCUGAGAUCAACCCUCGUGGUCUCUGAGCAGCUCAGCUUUUGAGAAAGCAAACGCCUCUUCGAUUUUUGAGCAGACGCCUCUUCGAUUUCUGAAGCUCCGUCGAGUGCAGAUUUUUAUAGGGGCUGACAUUAAGUUCCAAAGCACACUUGAAUCUCCACCAGUAGAAGCUCCAUUCUUGCACUUCUAAGAUCUUGAUUUGUCCGACCUCUUCUCUCUUCAACACCUUUGAAAAUGUCUAGCCCCUCCGACCGUCGUUUUGACUUGAACCUUGUUGAAGAGGCAGCCCCGCCUUCUCCAGACAACAUAUGGCGCCCAUCCUUCGUCUCCCCUACUGGUCCUCUUACCGUUGGGGAUUCCGUGAUAAAGAAUAAUAUGACCGCUGCGGUGGUGGCCAGGAACCUUCUCACUCCCAAAGAUAACAGACUACUUUCCAAACGAUCUGAUGAGUUAGCUGUUAAGGAUUCUCUGGCUCUCAGUGUUCAGUGUGCAGGUUCUGUGUCUAAUAUGGCCCAACGCCUAUUUGCUCGAACCCGUUAAGUUGAAUCAUUGGCGGCUGAAGUGAUGAGUCUCAAACAGGAGAUUAGAGGGCUCAAGCAUGAGAAUAAACAGUUGCACCGGCUCGCACAUGACUAUGCUACAAACAUGAAGAGGAAGCUUGACCAGAUGAAGGAAUCUGAUGGUCAGGUUUUACUUGAUCAUCAAAGAUUUGUGGGUUUGUUCCAAAGGCAUUUAUUGCCUUCGUCUUCUGGGGCGGUACCGCGUAAUGAAGCUCCAAAUGAUCAACCUCUGAUGCCUCCUCCUUCUAGGGUUCUAUCCAGUACUGAGGCUCCGAAUGAUCCCCCUCCGGUGCCUUCUCUUUCUGGGGCUCUACCGACUGCGAGACUUGUCCUAAGCAACCUUUGUGAAGGCUCCCUCUAGUUUGUUUAUUUUGACUCAUGUAUAUGUACAUAUUUGUAGCCUAUCAGGGAUAUCAAUAAAUAAGUUUUCCUUCAUUUCAACAUAUUGUGUUAAAUACACCAAAGCCUUCUUCGCUAAGUUCUUUGAAUUUUCUUUUGUUGAAGCUUGUAUGUUGAAGCUUUGUGAGUGGAGCAUGUAGGUUGAGGUAGUGUUCCUUUAAUUUCCCGAGUGAGGAAAACUUCUCGGUUGGAGACUUGAAAAAUCCAAGUCACUGAGUGGGAUCGGCUAUAUGAAUCUUAGAACGCCAUUGUGCUCGGUCCCGUGUCAUGUCCUUCGUUAGAUCCAAGUACUCUUAAGUCUUUUCUUAGAGUCUCUUCCAAAGUUUUCCUAGGUCUUCCUCUACCACUUCGGCCCUGAACCUCUGUCCCAUAGUCGCAUCUUCUAAUCGGAGCGUCAGUAGGCCUUCUUUGCACAUGUCCAAACCACCAUAACCGAUUUUCUCUCAUCUUUCCUUCAAUUUCGGCUACUCCUACUUUACCCCGGAUAUCCUCAUUCCUAAUCUUAUCCUUUCUCGUGUGCUCACACAUCCAACGAAGCAUCCUCAUCUCCGCUACACCCAUUUUGUGUACGUGUUGAUGUUUCACCGCCCAACAUUCUGUGCCAUACAGCAUCGCCGGCCUUAUUGCAGUCCUAUAAAAUUUUCCCUUGAGCUUCAGUGGCAUACGGCGGUCACAUAACACGCCGAAUGCACUCUUCCACUUCAUCCAUCCAGCUUGUAUUCUAUGGUUGAUAUCUCCAUCUAAUUCUCCGUUCUUUUGCAAGAUAGAUCCUAGGUAACGAAAACGAUCGCUCUUUGGUAUUUCUUGAUCUCCGAUCCUCACCCCUAACUCGUUUUGGCCUCCAUUUGCACUGAACUUGCACUCCAUAUAUUCUGUCUUUGAUCGGCUUAGGCGAAGACCUUUAGAUUCCAACGCUUCUCUCCAAAGGUUAAGCUUUGCAUUUACCCCUUCCUGAGUUUCAUCUAUCAACACUAUAUCGUCUGCGAAAAGCAUACACCAAAGAAUAUCAUCUUGAAUAUGUCCUGUUAACUCAUCCAUUACCAACGCAAAAAGGUAAGGACUUAAGGAUGAGCCUUGAUGUAAUCCUACAGUUAUGGGAAAGCUUUCGGUUUGUCUUUCAUGAGUUCUUACAGCAGUCUUUGCUCCUUCAUACAUAUCUUUUAUAGCUUGGAUAUAUGCUACUCGUACUCCUUUCUUCUCUAAAAUCCUCCAAAGAAUGUCUCUUGGG
This 87447-nucleotide long non-coding RNA is filed under the name Malus domestica (apple). Its description in RNAcentral is "long non-coding RNA (MDOM_LNC007125)". The record is from RNAcentral. Lineage: Eukaryota; Viridiplantae; Streptophyta; Magnoliopsida; Rosales; Rosaceae.